AAAUCAAACCGUGCUUUUGCAAAAAAUUAUCGUAAUUUACAUCAUGAUAGUACAACUCAGACCACAGGACAACACGCCUCAUGCCGAGCACAGUCCUGAGACACCUUACUUGCCAGGGACAAAGUUGGUGGCGAACGCCCAUGCAUUGUUGUUGACGGGGUCGGCGAUGUGGUCAGUGAGGUUCUCGAGUGGGCCCUUGCCUGUGACGAUAGCUUGGACAAAGAAGCCAAACAUUGAGAACAUGGCAAGGCGACCGUUCUUGAUCUCCUUCACCUUGAGCUCGGCAAAUGCUUCAGGGUCUUCGGCCAAGCCAAGAGGGUCGAAGCUGCCGCCUGGGUAGAGUGGGUCGACGAUCUCACCGAGUGGGCCGCCAGCAACGCGGUACCCCUCGACGGCACCCAUGAGCACGACCUGGCAUGCCCAAAUAGCAAGGAUGCUUUGUGCAUGGACGAGGCUGGGGUUGCCGAGGUAGUCGAGAGAUUUGGGAGCCGGUCUUGAACCAAACAGCCUCACCGAAGGUGACGCCGUUGCAGGCGAGCAACUCAGGGAAGACACAACCAAGUGCCCCGAGCAUGGCCCAGCGGCAAUGGAUCACCUCCAGCUCCCGGUUCUUGGCGAAGGUCUCAGGGUCAGCUGAAAGUCCGGUAGUGUCCCACCCAUAGUCGCCAGGGAACUCACCUGUCAGGUAGCUCGGGGGCUCACCAGAGAGUGGCCCGAGGUAGAGCACACGGUCAGCGCCGUACCAUGGGCUGCCAGAGGAAACCUGCUUCGCCUUCGCUGCAGUCUUGCGCAUGGUGACGCGGGCCUCACCAAAGAGAGCCGAAGAUGGUACAUUCUGCACCGCCUUGCCGGCAAAGGUCGAGGUGGAGAGGGACAUGGUGGCUGCCACCAUUGCAAAGCUAAGAAGAGUGUUAGCUGUAUGGGUUCUCAAAGAGAUGAGUGAGUGUGGAGAUGAUUUGAUAGAAGAGGGGGAGGUGGCCGGCUACUUAAGGGAGCAUGAGGUGUCAUAGGGAAUCCAUUUGGUGUGCAAUCUGACAAGAUAAACAAGGAUAGAGAGAAAAAUCUUGAGCUUUGCUGCCAUUGGUGGUGCAUAGAUCUCUUGCUCUCACAACACUUGGCACAGCGAGAGCCAGGAGAAAUGAGUAUUGCUGUGAACUUGUGGCUAGAAGUGGCUGUGACUGGAUUUCGUUGGAGACAGCUGAUUGGAUUUAAGUGCAUGUGUGAGUGAGACCUGCAUGGUUCGCAUGCACUAGAAAGCAUCGCGCGGCGUCACACCAGGCACACUCGGGCGAGCCGUUGCGUUCAUGUAUCUUUUAGAUUUCAGAAAAUCAAAAUAGGAAGUACCAUCUCCUCUUGGUAGAAUGUCACAUUCUUGAGCCAAAUGCCAUACAUAAAGCUAGAUAUAUCCAUUUUUUACCAUAAUGAAAAAUGUAGGUCCAUCUUAAUUUGUCAUUCAACUGACAAAUAAAAUCAAUUUAUUCCAAUUUACAUCUGAAUAUUCUAUAUAUUUUAGUUUAAUGUAGAGACUCAUUAUACUGCUACUGAAAUAAAACAAGUUAUAUAUGCUUGGUAAAAAAAGAUUAGUAAUUUAACGUUAAAAAAAUGUGCCUCCAUUCAUAGUAAAUAUUGAACAAAAGAAAAAUUCAAAUUGUGUAACAUUACCAUAUAAAUUUGGAAAAAUGAUGGAGAAGGUUAUUUCUACACGAAAAAAUGUCAGUUUAAGCAGAAGUGUUCGCUCUUCUCCUGGGUAAAUAUGCAUCCAGGAUGAAUAGCAAAUUUUGAAAAACUAGUAAACAUUUUUUUUUGUGAUAAACAUUUUUGAAUGGUUUACUAACAUGCAAAUAAGUUUCAUGAUGGAAAAACAUCCGUGGAGGCCUGGACAGAAAAUUCAGUGUUCCAAAGUGCUUAAAAAGAUGCCCUUUUUGGAAUAUCAUUUUUUUUCAGACCUCAUGAAUGUUUUUCAGCAUGAAUUUUCAAAACGCAUUCAACACUUUUUGUCUAAAAAAGUCCAGAUUUCUCUUGAAAUUGUUUCCUAUUUCUUCUGUCCAAAUUUACGAUGCACCCAAGUGCAGUUUAAGUUGUUAUUUCCCAGGGAUAACGUAUGCUUUUAUACCUUUGUUUUUAUUUGAGCCUAGAUGACCAUAUAAAUUGCAUGUGUGGUCACACAUAAUAUUAUUGUUUCACUAUAUUGCAAUUUAUUCACAUACUUCAAAACAUCAGUGUUAAGUCAAAUUCAUCUACGUGCUUAUAAUUUUCACUUAUAAAUAUGUAUGUUUGAUUUGUAUAUGUGUAGCUCUUAAAUUAUGGCAGGAAUCUCAUUACAAAAAUUAUAAGUCAAAGAUCUCGAGAAAGAAAAUCUUAGCACAUGCUCCCCACCUCUCUAACGUCGUUGAUUCUCAUGUCACCGGUCAGCCUAUCUUUUGUGUUUUGGUGAUGAUCAUGUACAACAAUUAUAUUGUGCAAUAAAACCUUAGUUAUUUAAAAUAUUUUAAUAGCUAUCUUUUGUAAAAGUAUAUUUUAUUGUCUAUCUACUCUUAUAUGCUUUAAGAAGAAUAACAAUAAUUUUUAUUUGGUUUAUAAUAAAAAUGACACAAAACAGAGACAAGUGUUGCCUAUCAAUCUCCGCCUCCAGUUCUUUGCCACCCACUGCAAUAUCAGCGUCAGCGACCGCCUCUUGCACCCCUCCUCGACUAAAUUGACUAUUUCCCGACGGUUACAUUGCCUUCUCACUUUAGACAACAACGCCCUAGACCCCUAGUGGUAAACCAAACCACUUGGUUGGGCUGGCAGGGAGAUAUGAAAAAUCAUCAAUGAGGUAUAAUUGGCCACACUGCCUUUGUUGGAAACUAAGAAACAAAAGCAAGACAUGACCCCUGCAAUUGGCCGAAUUUCGUAUUUUGACCCUUUUAGCAAAGAUUUCCAGGAUCUGACCCUAGUUCAAUUUUUUUUGGGAUCUGACCCUUUUGCUACCGCCACGGGGCUCGGCGGUAGGGUCAGGCAUCCUACCGGUAGCAAAGACGGCCACAGCCGUCAACUAACGGCCAGCACACCAUCCUACCGCCAAAGGCCUCGGCGGUAGGUUAUGGGACCCUACCGCCAGAUGCCUGGUUUUUUUGCUUGCGAACAUGCUGUAACCUAAAAACGCAAAACCCUGGCGGUAGGUUAUGAGACCCUACGGCCAGGGUGCUUGGCGGUAUGGUAUGUGGUUUUGCAUGUUUUAAUGCUUGUUUCUUUUCUAAAAUUUUAUCAUAGCAAAGAAUACAAUACAAUAUAUAUUUAAGAGCCUAAAAUAUGCAGAGCUCACACAAUAUAACAUGUAUCACACUCGAGAUAUUAAUAAAAGUUCAACUAAUAGACAUGUCACACAUAGCAAAUUGUAGCAAACGGUUCCACAUAGUUUCACAAAUAGCAAAUAGCAAACGAUUCCACAUAGUUUGACAACCCCAACUAACACAAGUAGUUUCACAAAGCCAACUAAAACAAGUAGGCUAACAAGCCAAGACCACAAUCACGUGCUUCUUCCCCUCUUGGAGGUACAGUCCUCGUUGUUCUUUGAACGAGUCUCUUGAGGCUUCUUCUUGCGUCCUCCUCGAGGAAUCGGUUUCUAGAAUGGGGAUGGACUCUGCCAAUCCUUCUUUGGCUUAUUCCUCUUCGGAAGCUGAGAUGGUUGAGUUGGUGGAGGUCUGUAUUCUUCAUCGUACUCCUCAUUCCCAUUGCUCUCCUCCUCCUCACUACUAGGGAAAAGCCUAUACACAGAAUCUUACAGGCAGCACGCUUUAAAAUAAGGCGCUGCUGCUAACUAGCAGUAGCGCGCGCACAAAACUCGCUGGUGAAAUAAAUGUAUCAGUAGCGCGCCCGCUCUAAGACGCGAUACUGCUAUAAUUGCCACGACGCUGCCGCGAGGCUAGUUCUAGCAGCAACGCGUUAAUAUAAAGGGCGCUACUGCUACGGAUCAUAGCAGUAGCGCAUUUACACAAUAACCGCUACUGCUAAGUUUACUACAAAAAUUUAGUCCCACCUCGCUUCGUGAAGAGAGUUUGUACCACCUUAAAUAUGUUGCUUCUCAAACUUUCACAAGCACUUGGUCUUCAUUGAACUCUAUGUGUAGAAUUUGUGGCCGCAUGUGACACCCAAGUUUUUAUUGGAUUUUUCAAAAGAUUUUUAUUUGACUUAAAGGGAGUGAUUUAAAAAUUUUCUUCAAGAGAACUCUCACUCUCAAAUAUUUUCCUUUAUGGCAAAAAUUUUAUUUGGAUUCACCCAAGAUCUGCCUUUGACCUUGGGGGUUCUUGCUCUUCAUUUGGGCUCAAGACAAAAUGUUUUUCAUUUGAGAGGGUAACUUUUGAAAACCUUUUCUUGAAUUUGCACUAUGGCUUUUGGAAAGUCCUUUGCCACUUUCAACUAUUCCUUCUUGCCAUGGCAUUAGUGCAAAUCCUCUCUCCUAACCCUUCCCUCACCUUUGGAUCAUGAUUUGCAUCAAAUCCAGCAAGUUGAACCUCCCCAUGUGAUCAUUUCCAUUCAAAUUCUAUUCAAAUAAAUUUCUGUCCUCUCUUAUAGCACUUGGAGAUUUACAAAGGAACUCCUUUUUCUGUUUUGAUUUUUGCCACCAAACCUUUUUCCCCUCCUAGUCCUUUGAACCCUCAACCUAGAACCAUGAAGAUCCACUGGUCUCCAGUUCAAAAUUUUCAAACUACAUCAGCUGCAAGUUUGGACCAGAUUUGCCAAAUUUGGUGAAAUUCAUUCAAAACUUUCUCCAAAAAUUCCAAGUAAAUUCAUGCAGCCCCUGGGUACUCUGAGUGAUCAUCUCACCAAGUUACAGCUUCAGAAAAAUUUAUCUCUUUACCAAAACCUACUGUCGAACACCUGCAAUGCUUGGUCACUGUCAAGUUUCAGUUAACUUCAGAGUUCAGUCAGUGCUCACUGUCGUUUUCUUCAGAGACGGGCAUCGAUCUCGCCAGUGCCCUCGCGUCGCCUUGCUCCUCGUCCUCGCCCUCUCGUUCCUGCACCGCACGAGUGCCUGGCAUCUUGCGGGCGUCGGCGACGAGCAGCAGAAGGUGCGCCGCCCCGUGACCGACGCCGGCGGCGGCUUUGCGGGCGCCAGCGGGAGACACGGCGCCGCCGACUCCACUCAGCACCGUCCAAACCACCGGAGCCCGCCGCGUGGCCGUCCACUCCCCCGAAUGCGCUGCCGCUCUCGUCGUGAACCCCAGGGCGUGGAGCGCGCUCUCUGCCGCCGUUGAGCCCGUGCGGUCACCUCACCGUGGGCAGACGCCAUUACGCCAAGACCAGCUCCGUUUAGCUGCAAAACGAGUCCCGUAACGUCCACUGAUGCUGCUCGACCGCUCAAACCCUCUGCCAACCCACUGCUCCGCCGUAAUCGCUCGCCGGAGAUUCUCCGUUCACGGCCACCCCGUCGAUCUGCCUAUAAAUAGGGGCCCCGAGCUUCAACUCGAGCACCCACCAGCCCUACACUUCCCCUAGAGCACGCCUAGCCACUGGAAGAGCCCCGAGGAGGUCUUCUUCCUCGACUCCGGCCGCCGCGAUCCGCCACGGGAUCCAGCCCGAUUCGCCCCCGUGUGUGCUCCGCAGCCUCCAUUCUCUUGCCAGUAGCUUCACCUUGCAUCACCCGUUCUGACCCGCGCCUCAAUUCGUACUUUGCAGCCCUCCACCGGAGUUCCCCAACCUCACCCGAACCGCCGUCCGCCGGAGAUAGUGUCGCCGUCGACGUGGUGCUCCCCGUUGGACGAGUCCACCACCCACCGACGCGGAAGAAGGCACUGAAGCUCUUGGUACCCUCCGUUUCCCCUAACUCGCCGUGGUUCGACGCCGGCGUCCAUCGCCGUCUUCGGGCGCCGGCGAGCUUUCAAACCUGACAUGCGGGCCCCGCGUGUCAGCCUCUGUUUUAUUUUCCCCGAACCGUUUUCUGUUGGCGCCUUCGGGCAAAAUACGUUUUCUCCUUGCGCUUGCGCAUUCCCAGCCGAAGCGUUUUCUGUUUUCUCAGUUAAAACCCUGGAACUUUUCUGUUUCAUUACACAAAGGUCCCUGGACAGAAACCUUUAUAACUUUUUAAUAAAAAGGUAUUUUUGAGUGAUUCUUUUUCUGUCAAACUCCAAGUUUUGUCUAGUUUUUUAUGGGAUUUAUUUGAAAAAUAUUUGGCAAGGUUUCUGUGUGUGUGUGUUGGUUUUCACGUUAGUACCCGUUUCGUGAUUGCCGUAGGUUCCGGGAGAGGGGACGGAGCCGCGAACUUCGCCGAGCUAGACUCCGACUUCUCCGAACCAGGCAAGCAUGUUUGAACAUUUGAUAUGGCAGAUGUUUUGCAUGUUCAUGUGAAAGUUUGUGCGUGGCAUGUGAGUGUCGAUAAGUACCUCGUUGCUUGUAAGGCAACGAUCCGGUUGUUCCGAAGUUGCGAUGACCUCUGAUGAGAGGUGGCCUAAUCAUGUAGUGACAUGAAGGGCAGCAAGGUGGUACUGUUGUAGCAUGCCAGCCUUGCGUCAUCCGAUUCUCUUCGACGUUAACGUGGUUGGAGCCACGUUAUCGAUCUUUUCCCGCAUGUUCCAAAGUUGCGAUGACCUCUGAUGAGAGGUGGCCUAAUCAUGUAGUGACAUGAAGGGCAGCAAGGUGGUACUGUUGUAGCAUGCCAGCCUUGUGUCAUCCGACUUUUCCGACGUUAACAUGGUUGGAGCCGUGUUAUCGUCCCUUCCCCUUUCCGUGCUACCACAUGUCUCAUUGCCAGGAUACGGUUUAGUAAGUUGGUAACCUCUUUCCGUGUACACACCAAACAGAGAGGCCGGGAUGAUGGUACCUUGGCCCAGGAUUAAAGCCAGUCAUUCGGUCAGGGGGCAUGGGUGUUUCCGGUUGGGACCGAGAGGGGGGGCACCCCCUUAUAGCGCGCGUAUAGAAAUUUGAUCCCAUGCUACGCGAGGUUGUAGCCUCCCCGACUCAGGGUUUUUCCUGAAUGUUGCCGAGGGUGAUCCCUGGCUUCGGAUGGUUAAAUUGGGUGUGUACUGGUUAGACGUGUUCCUUCCAGAACACCGUAGACGGAACUAGUCCCCGUGACUACUGAAAUCCGUUGGCUGUGGUUAAGUACAAACUCUGCAGAGUCAAUUCUUUCCAAAUCAUCGUAUCCAUGAUCAGUAAUGUAGACUUUAUAUCCAAAUCUAUUCGUGUGAAAACUUGCCCCCGGUGAACAAGCUCAAGUGGUAAAUUCAAUUUCAUUGUUAUUCCUGUGGAUGGACUAACAUUAUAUUUGUCUCGUGCUUGUGAUAAAUUAUAUCCCCGAACUAUUGUAUUGUUGUGUUACAAUAUAAGCCCUUUAUGUGACGUCGCGCAGACGUCCGACUGCGGCAUGCACUGUCUUUACUUUCUGUUAUAAGCCCUUUAUGUGGUGUCGCCCCGACGCCCGACUGUGGCAUUAUUGUUCCGCAUUUUCCGCUCGAGGAGUCUUUCAAACACUCGUUUGGCACCUGUAUUAUUAUUCCGCAUUUUCCGCUCGAGGAGUCUUUCUGACACUCGUUUGGCACCUGUAUUAUUAUUCCGCAUUUUNNNNNNNNNNGACUCAGGGUUUUUCCUGAAUGUUGCCGAGGGUGAUCCCUGGCUUCGGAUGGUUAAAUUGGGUGUGUACUGGUUAGACGUGUUCCUUCCAGAACACCGUAGACGGAACUAGUCCCCGUGACUACUGAAAUCCGUUGGCUGUGGUUAAGUACAAACUCUGCAGAGUCAAUUCUUUCCAAAUCAUCGUAUCCAUGAUCAGUAAUGUAGACUUUAUAUCCAAAUCUAUCCGUGUGAAAACUUGCCCCCGGUGAACAAGCUCAAGUGGUAAAUUCAAUUUCAUUGUUAUUCCUGUGGAUGGACUAACAUUAUAUUUGUCUCGUGCUUGUGAUAAAUUAUAUUCCCGAACUAUUGUAUUGUUGUGUUACAAUAUAAGCCCUUUAUGUGACGUCGCGCAGACGUCCGACUGCGGCAUGCACUGUCUUUACUUUCUGUUAUAAGCCCUUUAUGUGGUGUCGCCCCGACGCUCGACUGUGGCAUUAUUGUUCCGCAUUUUCCGCUCGAGGAGUCUUUCAGACACUCGUUUGGCACCUGUAUUAUUAUUCCGCAUUUUUCGCUCGAGGAGUCUUUCUGACACUCGUUUGGCACCUGUAUUAUUAUUCCGCAUUUUCCGCUCGAGGAGUCUUUCUGACACUCGUUUGGCACCAGUAUUACUAUUCUGCAGUUUCCGCUCGAGGCGUCAUUCAGACCCUCGCUUGGCACCCAGUAUUUAUUAUCUCUGUGUCUGAUCGCACUGGUUAACUUAUUCAUGUGCUUCAUGUUUGCAUUUGUGAUACCGUAUGUCCGAACUGUCUUGCGAGUACUUUCAUAGUACUCACCUGGCUUGUUGAUUUGGCCAGAUGCUGACGAAGGCGAUCUCUUGGAUGAAGAGUUUGAUAGUGCGUCCGACGCCUAGAGGAGUCCCAGUCAGUCCUGCGCGAUCCCGGAUAUUGGUCACUUGUAUCGUUUACGCUUCCGCCACCCGCAAUAAGUCAUCUCGAGCCUCACUCCGACGCUCGAAGAGUUGUAGUAUUCUGGAAUCAUGUCACCCGCUUCGCGAUGAUAUUUCCACCACCGUUAUUAUCGUGAGUUAGAAGUUUGCCACCCUAUCCGCCGUAUUGUUUUAUCGGCGUGCUUGUAAUAAAUUGUUGGGCAGCCUCUGCUCAACUUUGUAUUAUAUUUAGUACUCCUGGUAUUUUUCUUCUGUGACCAAUGUAUUGUCUAUCAGUGAGAAGGAAUUCUUCCUCGCUGGUCCGUAACAGGGAUUGGUUUCUCAAUAAUUAUUUUAUUGAAAAACCGGUCGUGACAANNNNNNNNNNUCGAGGAGUCUUUCUGACACUCGUUUGGCACCUGUAUUAUUAUUCCGCAUUUUCCGCUCGAGGAGUCUUUCUGACACUCGUUUGGCACCAGUAUUACUAUUCUGCAGUUUCCGCUCGAGGCGUCAUUCAGACCCUCGCUUGGCACCCAGUAUUUAUUAUCUCUGUGUCUGAUCGCACUGGUUAACUUAUUCAUGUGCUUCAUGUUUGCAUUUGUUAUACCUUAUGUCCGAACUGUCUUGCGAGUACUUUCAUAGUACUCACCUGGCUUGUUGAUUUGGCCAGAUGCUGACGAAGGCGAUCUCUUGGAUGAAGAGUUUGAUAGCGCGUCCGACGCCUAGAGGAGUCCCAGUCAGUCCUGCGCGAUCCCGGAUAUUGGUCACUUGUAUCGUUUACGCUUCCGCCACCCGCAAUAAGUCAUCUCGAGCCUCACUCCGACGGUCGAAGAGUUGUAGUAUUCUGGAAUCAUGUCACUCGCUUCGCGAUCAUAUUUCCACCUCCGUUAUUAUCGUGAGUUAGAAGUUUGCCACCCUAUCCGCCGUAUUGUUUUAUCGGCGUGCUUGUAAUAAAUUGUUGGGCAGCCUCUGCUCAACUUUGUAUUAUAUUUAGUACUCCUGGUAUUUUUCUUCUGUGACCAAUGUAUUGUCUAUCAGUGAGAAGGAAUUCUUCCUCGCUGGUCCGUAACAGGGAUUGGUUUCUCAAUAAUUAUUUUAUUGAAAAACCGGUCGUGACACCGCAAUAUGAGUCUUCACCAGUUCCUAAACUGGUGAGGACUCAUAUUGACAAAUCAGAUUGUACACAAAAAGAUCAUUGAUGAUCAAUGUAUUUUUGAUGUCUAUUUUUACAUGCUGACACAUAGCAGUAGCGCAUUCUUUGUGAAAGGCGCUACUGCUAGGUCGUUCAGCAGUAGCGCCUUUUGCUAUAGCGCGCUACUGCUAAGCCAUUCCAUCUCCCCCCGACUCACUCUCCUCUAUCCAAUCCACUCACUCGAUCUCCCCCUCAACCCCCCACUCCGGUCCUCCCCCCUCGCCCCUCCUCCGAUCUGCGCCGCCGUCACCUCCUCCUCCUCGCUGGACUCGGUACCGGCCUCCUCCUCCGUCCUCCCUCCAGUCACCGCUAGCCGGCCCUCCUCGCUCCGCCUUCCUCCUCCGUCCUCCCUCCACUCGCCGUCGGCCGGCCCCUCCUCGCUCCUUCUUCCUCCUCCAUCCUACUCUCUUCUCCCUCCUCGAGUCGCCCCUCCUUCUCCCUCCCUCCUCCAUCCACAACCCCUCCUCCCUGCUACAUUUUGAUUUAGUAGGUUAGUUGAUUUAGAACAUUUUGAUUUAGUUGAUUUAGUAUGCUAGUUGAUUUAGUAGGCUAGUUGAUUUAGUUGAUUUAGUAAGCACCAUUUUAUUGUUAUUUUUUCUGUACAUGGAUAGGUAGAUGCUUUUGUUUUUUUGUAAUAAGUUAUUUUUUGGCAAAAUGUAGGUGCCAAUUUAGUUAAAUUUGCCACUUGUUUUUUAUCAAUUAUCUUAGGCAAUAGGGGCCAAAUUAGAUGAAAUGUCUUGGUAGGUGGUACCCUUAUUUGGUAGAUAUUUGUGAAAAGUUUUUUCGGCAAUAGGUGCCACCGAAAUGCUUUGGUAGGUGGUACCUUGUCAUCUAUGUUACUAGAUCUUAGGAUUAUAAUUGUCCAUAAAAUUGCUUCUCGCGGAAGAACCAAAAAUAUCACAUGCUACUGUUUUUCUUUCCUGUGAAGUGAAUCGUUAAUCCUUUGCUCAUAUUGCUUUAGGAAAAUGGCACCACCACCACCACCACUAUGUCGACUGUGCAAGUCAAGGUGCACCAGCAGCCUUGCAACUGGCAAGCUGUUCGGCAUCUACUUCCAGCCGAGUUUUCGUCAUGCGGCGGUAAGACAUUAGAUGAAAUGUAACAACUAUUUUAUUUUUAGUGUUGGUAUUACUGCAUUGUGUCAUUUUGCUUUUUUACACAGAUCGUCCCAUGCAAUGUGAGGUUGAAAUUCAACAAGCUGACAAAACACACUGUGACAUUUGAGGCUCCUGGGGGGCCGUACACUAUGGAGGUCGAGAAAGGACGCAAUAUGUCGCAGAUUGGAGGAGAUGGAUGGGACCGUUUCCUUGCCCGCAUGCGUCUUACUGGUGAUGAGUUGAUCAGCUUCUCCUUCAGAGAAGAAAGACCCAAGCUGGCUGUCAUUUAUCUUAACCUGGUGGAAGAUGAUGAAGAUGACGAAGAUGAUGAAGAUAAUGAGGACCCACUCGAUGAAGAUGAUGAGAACCCACUUCAUGAAGCCAUCAUAGCUCAAAGAAUGAGGCUGAGCAAGGAGGAGGUGUGCAACCUAUGGGACAUAAUUCCGCCACGUGAUGACUUUGUCGGGGUGCCAUUCGUGACCCGCCUGACAAGUACCAUGGUCGAUCGGCAUGAAAUGGUAUGUUAUACGUACUGACGGUAGUAAUUUGAUGAUAUAUAUAUGCUUUAUUGUUAUACUUACAAAUGCAAAUUAUCCGAUGAUAUGCUUAGUGAAUCCGAUGAUAUGCUUAGUGUAGAGUCCAAUGAUAUGCUUUGUGGAAUCUAGUCGAUGAUAUGCUUUAGUGUAGAGUCUGAUCACAUGCUUAUUAGUGUAGAAUCCAAGGAACUAUUAAUAGUGUAGAUAAUCCAUAUAUACUUAUUAGUAGAAUUCAUGAUUAGUUAGUACAAAUGCGUAGUACUGUGUCUUUUGAUAGUGUAGAAAUCUAGACUGAAUAGAAAUAUAUUUGCAAGAGUAUGUGCGAGGCUAUUUAUUAAUUAAUAUGUUUUUCUUAUUCGGAAAUUGCCAAAGAACCUAUCUGUGAGUUGUGGUAUCGAGCCUGAUGAAGAAGGCUCAGCUGGACUACGCCUUACCGCAAGGGGCUCCGUCACCACCUGUACUUACCGCAUGGACACAAACGGUCGCACACACUUAAACUCGGUUGGGUGGAAGAGAUUCCUUGUUGGCAAGAAUCUUCGUGUUGGACAGGCCAUCCUAAUUACUAUCAGGAACACACACCGCCCAGGCUUGAGGAUGAUGAUCGUCGUCGAUAUCAUCUAGAACUACAUAUGUGUGUGUGGCUAUAUCAUGUAGAACUACAUAUGAUGAUCGUCGUCGAUAUCAUGUAGAAUUACAUAUGAUGAUCGUCGUCGAUAUCAUCUAGAACUACAUAUGAUGAUCGUCGUCGAUAUCACCUUGUACUACUUGAGGAUGCAUGUUGAGUAUAUAUGAAAUUGUUAUCUAGUACUCCCUCCGUUCCAAAUUACUCGUCGUGGUUUUAGUUCAAAUUUGAACUAAAACCACGACGAGUAAUUUGGAACCGAGGGAGUACUACCUAGUACCUAUAAUGCUUUAUGAAAUUGAUAUCUAGUAGUACCUAGUAUCUGGAAAUUGUAGUUUAUUGAAGCUGAAACGGGGUAGGAAGCCGGGGGGAAAUGAUGAAAGAUGUAGCAGUAGCGCGGGGCCAGAAAUCGCUACAGCUAAUUAAUAGCAGCGCGUCCCAGAAAAGCGCUGCUGAUAUAGUCCAUAGUAGUAGCGCGGGUACAGACCGCGCUACUACUAACAGUUAGUUGUAAUGCCUCAUAGCCUCAAAACCCGCGCUGCCCGCGCUGCUGAUAGCCUCAAAACCCGCGCUGCUGCUAGGCUUUUCCCUAGUAGUGCCUCUUCUUCUUCAUGGGCCUCCUCCUCCUCAACCAACCUAGCCGACGAGGAAGCAUGGCUCGAUGAAGCGAUGUUACCCUGUGUGCCUGCAUGAUCAUGAGCUUCAACCGAGCCAGCGCACCCAAGCAGGCGUACCAGCUUGCGACAAUGCUUCACGAACUUCUGCACUCAUAAUGAAACAAGGACAUAACACGGAUCAGAUUUAUGAUUGCAAAUGAACAAGAACAUAGGGUAUUUCUAGGUGGCUGAAAUGUUACCUUCAUUGUCUCCCUCAUGAUGUUCUCAGAAUCUCCGGUCCCGGGGGAACCACCUGGUGCAUCUGGGCCAUCAAAGAUGCAUCCGUUCAGCUCGCCGGACUGUAAAGGCAUAAGUGAGUCACAAUGACGAAUAAAAUAAAUUACAUACAACCGCCGGUUCAAGACAGAAGAACACAACUUACCACUCUGUUGAUCAGGGGUGCAAACUCCCUAAAUCCACUCAUGUCUCUGAUGCUAGCCUGGUAGGCCUCUUCCUUGGGGGCAUCCAUCUCCAGCUCCGUGAUAUCUUCUGUCAUCCACCGAGGCCUGAGACGAAGACGGUGCUUCUGGCCAUCAUCGUACCACCUCAUGUGUUGGGCAUAAUCAUCCCAGUCAAGCACCCGCCUCUCCCCAUCUUUACGCCACCUGUGCCGGUUCCACUCUGUCACAAAAGUUUUAUGCUCCUCUCCACAGUCUGUGAUCGACUGAUUUUUCUUUCGGCUCUUUCUACAAGGCAUAAACAACACAAAACAUCAUAAGAACGUCAAACACAACGAAAUCAUGGUAACGGAGAACAAUGCACUCACAAGUGGGGUUCGUGGCCACUUGUAUGGUUCGGCAUGCCCGGUGGUGUAUGCUGGUAGACCCGAAAUUGCGCGGCCACACGGUGUGGCAAGUGCCACUCGACGGCGUACACACAUAGCAUGGGCACCAUGCACUGCCAAAGACUCCUGUCCUGCUCGCACAUCACGUUCAUCUCGAACCCCCACUCUCGGUCAUAAUAUGGCCAUCAGUUUACCUAUCGCACAAACAUUGGUAUGUUCCCGAUGAAAGUGGCCUCAAAGAGAAAGAUAAGCUAGUUCAUAUACCUGCGAAGUGUUGGUAAUCGUAGCAUAAUUUUAAAAUUUUCCUACGUUUACCAAGAUGCAUCUAUGGAGUAUACUAGCAACGAGGGGAAGGGAGUGCAUCUACAUACCCUUGUAGAUCGCGAGCGGAAGCGUUCCAAUGAACGUGGAUGACGGAGUCGUACUCGCCGUGAUCCAAAUCACCGAUGACCGAGUGCCGAACGGACGGCACCUCCGCGUUCAACACACGUACGGUGCAGCGACGUCUCCUCCUUCUUGAUCCAGCAAGGGGGAAGGAGAGGUUGAUGGAGAUCCAGCAGCACGACGGCGUGGUGGUGGAUGUAGCGGGUCUCGGCAGGGCUACGCCGAGCUUCUGCGAGACGGAGAGGUGUAACAGGGGAGGAGGGAGGCGCCCAAGGCUGUAGGUUGCUGCCCUCCCUCCCCCCCCUUUAUAUAGGCCCCCUUGGGAGGGGGGGCCGGCCAAAACCCAUCUAGGGUUGGGGGGCGGCGGCCAAGGGGUGGAAAGGGGUGCCUUGCCCCCCAAGGCAAGGGGGAAGUCCCCCCACCCUAGGGUUCCCAACCCUAGGCGCAUGGGGGGAGGCCCAAGGGGGGCGCCCAGCCCACUAGGGGCUGGUUCCCUUCCACUUUCAGCCCAUGGGGCCCUCCGGGAUAGGUGGCCCCACCCGGUGGACCCCCGGGACCCUUCCGAAGGUCCCGGUACAAUACCGGUAACCCCCGAAACUUUCCCGGUGGCCGAAACUUGACUUCCUAUAUAUAAUUCUUCACCUCCGGACCAUUCCGGAACCUCUCGUGACGUCCGGGAUCUCAUCCGGGACUCCGAACAACUUUCGGGUUUCCGCAUACAUAUAUCUCUACAACCCUAGCGUCACCGAACCUUAAGUGUGUAGACCCUACGGGUUCGGGAGACAUGCAGACAUGACCGAGACGCCUCUCCGGUCAAUAACCAACAGCGGGAUCUGGAUACCCAUGUUGGCUCCCACAUGUUCCACGAUGAUCUCAUCGGAUGAACCACGGUGUCGAGGAUUCAAUCAAUCCCGUAUGCAAUUCCCUUUGUCAAACGGUAUGUUACUUGCCCGAGAUUCGAUCGUCGGUAUCCCAAUACCUUGUUCAAUCUCGUUACCGGCAAGUCUCUUUACUCGUAUCGCAAUGCAUGAUCCCGUGACUAACGCCUUAGUCACAUUGAGCUCAUUAUGAUGAUGCAUUACCGAGUGGGCCCAGAGAUACCUCUCCGUCACACGGAGUGACAAAUCCCAGUCUCGAUCCGUGCCAACCCAACAGACACUUUCGGAGAUACCCGUAGUGCACCUUUAUAGUCACCCAGUUACGUUGUGACGUUUGGCACACCCAAAGCACUCCUACGGUAUCCGGGAGUUGCACGAUGUCAUGGUCUAAGGAAAAGAUACUUGACAUUGGAAAAGCUCUAGCAAACGAAACUACACGAUCUUUUAUGCUAUGCUUAGGAUUGGGUCUUGUCCAUCACAUCAUUCUCCUAAUGAUGUGAUCCCGUUAUCAACGACAUCCAAUGUCCAUGGUCAGGAAACCGUAACCAUCUAUUGAUCAACGAGCUAGUCAACUAGAGGCUUACUAGGGACAUGGUGUUGUCUAUGUAUCCACACAUGUAUCUGAGUUUCCUAUCAAUACAAUUCUAGCAUGGAUAAUAAACGAUUAUCAUGAAUAAGGAAAUAUAAUAAUAACCAAUUUAUUAUUGCCUCUAGGGCAUAUUUCCAACAGUCUCCCACUUGCACUAGAGUCAAUAAUCUAGUUCACAUCACCAUGUGAUUAACACUCACUGGUCACAUCACCAUGUGACCAACAUCUAAAGAGUUUACUAGAGUCAACAAUCUAGUUCACAUCACUAUGUGAUUAACACUCAAUAUGUUCUGGUUUGAUCAUGUUAUGCUUGUGAGAGAGGUUAUUAGUCAACGGGUCUGAACCUUUCAGAACUGUGUGCUUUACGAAUAUCUAUGUCAUCUUGUGGAUGCUACCACGCGCUAUUUGGAGCCAUUUCAAAUAAUUGCUCUACUAUACGAAUCCGGUUUACUACUCAGAAUCAUCCGGAUUAGUGUCAAAGUUCGCAUCGACGUAACCCUUUACGACGAACUCCUUUCCACCUCCAUAAUCGAGAAAAUUCCUUAAUCCACUAGGUACUAAGGAUAAGUUCGACCGCUGUCAUGAGAUCCUUUCCCGGAUCACUAUUGUACCCUCUUGACCAACUCAUGGCAAGGCACACUACAUGUGCGGUACACAUCAUAGCAUACUAUAGAGCCUACGUCUAAAGCAUAGGGGACGACCUUCGUCCUUUCUCUAUCUUCUGCUAUGGUCAGGUCUUGAGUCUUACUCAAUACUCACACCUUGUAACACAGCCAAGAACUCCUUCUUUGCUGAUCUAUUUUGAACUCUUUCAAAAUCAUGUCAAGGUGUGCUGUCUUUUGAAAGUAUCAUCAGGCGUCUUGAUCUAUCUCUAUGGAUCUUGAUGCCCAAUAUGUAAGCAGCUUUAUCCAGGUCUUCCUUUGAAAAAUUCCUUUCAAACAACCCUUUAUGCUUUCCAGAAAUUUUACAUCAUUUCGGAUCAACAAUAUGUCAUUCACAUAUACUUAUCAGAAAUGUUGUAGCGGUCCCACUCACUUUAUUGUAAAUACAAGUUUCUAACAAACUUUGUAUAAACCCAAAAACUUUGAUCACUCCAUCAAAGCGUAUAUUCUGACUCCGAGAUGCUUGCUCUAAUCCAUGGAAGGGUCGCUGGAGCUAGCAUACCUUUUAGCAUCCUUAGGAUCGACAAAACCUUUCUGAUUGUAUCACAUACAACCUUUCCUUACGAAAACUGGUAAGGAAACUUGUUUUGACAUCCAUCUGCCAGAUUUCAUAAAUGCAGCUAAUGCUAACAUGAUUCCGACGGACCUAAGCAUCGCUACGGAUGAGAAAAACUCAUCGUAGUCAACUCCUUGAACUUGUGAAAAUACUCUUUGCCACAAGUCGAGCUUCAUAGACGGUAACAUUACCGUCCAUGUCUGUCUUCUUCUUAAAGAUCCAUUUAUCUCAAUGGCUUGCCGAUCAUCGGGCAAGUUCACCAAAGUCCACGCUUUGUUCUGAUACAUGGAUUCUAUCUCGGAUUUCAUGGCCUCGAGCCAUUCAUCGGAAUAUGGGCCCACCAUCGCUUCUCCAUAGCUCGUAGGUUCAUUGUUGUCUAGCAACAUGACUUCCAAGACAGGAUCACGCAUUUCUCUGAAGUAGUGCGCAUCCUCGUCGUCCUACGAGGUUUGGUAGUGACUUGAUCCGAAGUUUCAUGAUCACUAUCAUAAGCUUCCACUUCAAUUGGUAUAGGUGCCACAGGAACAACUUCCUGUGCCCUGCUACACACUAGUUGAAGCGACGGUUCAAUAACCUUAUCAAGUCUCCACCAUCCUCCCACUCAAUUCUUUCGAGAGAAACUUUUCCUCGAGAAAGGACUCGUUUCUAGAAGCAAUUACUUUUGCUUCCAGAUCUGAAAUAGGAGGUAUACCCAACUGUUUUUGGGUAUUCUAUGAAGAUGCAUUUAUCCGCUUUGGGUUCGAGCUUAUCAGCCUGAAACUUUUUCACAUAAGCAUCGCAGCCCCAAACUUUUAAGAAACGACAACUUAGGUUUCUCUAAACGGUGUCGUCUCAACGGAAUUGCGUGGUGCCCCUUUUAAAGUGAAUGCGGUUGUCUCUAAUGCCUAACCCAUAAAUGAUAGUGGUAAUAAGAAACAUCAUGGUAUGAACCAUAUCCAAUAGGGUGCAGUUAUGAUGUUCGGACACACCAUCACACUAUGGUGUUCCAGGCGGUAUUAAUUGUGAAACACUUUCCACAAUGUCUCAAUUGUGUGCCAAACUCGUAUCUCAGAUACUCAUCUCUAUGAUCAUAUCACAGACAUUUUAUCCUCUUGUCACGACGAUCUUCAACUUCACUCUCAAAUUACUUGAACCUUUCAAUAAUUCAGACUAGUGUUUCAUCAAGUAAAUACACUCAGCAUCUACUCAAAUCAUCUGUGAAGUAAGAACAUAACGAUAUCCAUUGCAUGCCUCAGCACUCAUUGGACUGCGUACAUCAAAAUGUAUUACUUCCAAUAAGUUGCUCUCUUGUUCCAUCUUACUGAAAACGAGGACUUUCAGUCAUCUUGCCCAUGUGGUAUGAUUUGCAUGUCUCAAGUGAUUCAAAAUCAAGUGAGUCCAAACGAUCCAUCUGCAUGGAGUUUCUUCAUGCAUAUAUAUACCAAUAGACAUGGUUCGCAUGUCUCAAUCUUUUCAAAACGAGUGAGUCCAAAGAUCCAUCUAUAUGGAGCUUCUUCAUGCGUUUUAUACCAAUAUGACUCAAGUAGCAGUGCCACAAGUAUGUGGUACUAUCAUUACUAUCUUAUAUCUUUUGGCACGAACAUGUGUAUCAUGGCGAUCGAGAUUCAUUUCAGGUGCAAGACCAUUGAAGGUAUUAUUCAAAUAAACAGAGUAACCAUUAUUCUCCUUAAAUGAAUAACCGUAUUGCGAUAAACAUAAUCCAAUCAUGCUUAACGCAAACACCAAAUCUCGAUGGUAGAGGGAGCAUUCGAUGCUUGAUCACAUCAACCUUGGAAACACCUCCAACACAUAUCGUCAUCUCACCUUUAGCUAGUCUCCGUUUAUUCCGCAGCUUUUAUUUCGAGUUACUAACACUUAGCAACCGAACCGGUAUCUAAUACCCUGGUCCUGCUAGGAGUACUAGUAAAGUACACAUUCAUAUAACGUAUAUCCAAUAUGCUUCUGUCGACCUUGCCUGCCUUCUCAUCUACCAAGUAUCUAGGGUAGUACUGCUUCAGUGACCGUUCCUCUCAUUACAGAAGCACUUAGUCUCGGGUUUGGGUUCAACCUUGGGAUUCUUCACUAGAGCAGCAAACGACUUGCUGUUUCAUGAAGUAUCCCUUUUGCCCUUGCCCUUCUUAAACUAGUGGUUUUACUAACCAUCAACAAUUGAUGCUCCUUCUUGAUUUCUACUCUCGCGGUGUCAAACAUCGCGAAUAGCUCAAGGAUCAUCAUAACUAUCCUUGAUAUGUUAUAGUUCAUCACGAAGCUCUACUAGCUUGGUGGCAGUGACUAUGGAUAACUAUCACUAUCUCAUCUGGGAGAUUAACUCCCACUCGAUUCAAGUGAUUGUAGUACUCAGACAAUCUGAGCACAUGCUCAACGAUUGAGAUUUUCUCCCUUAGUUUGCAGGUUUAAGAAACUUGUCAGAGGUCUCAUACCUCUUGACGUGGGCACUAGUCUGAAAUCCCAAUUUCAGUCUUCGGAACAUCUCAUAUGUUCUGCGACGUUUCAAAAAAACGUCUCUCGUGCCACAAUUCUAAACCGUUAGCAUUACUCACUGAACUAUCACGUAGUCAUCAAAACGUGUAUGUCAGAUGUUUCGCAACAUCUACAGACGACGCUGAGGUUCAGCACACCGAGCGGUGCAUUAAGGACAUAAGCCUUCUGUGCAGCAAUGAGGACAAUCCUCAGUUUACGGACCCAGUCCGCAUAAUUGCUACUACCAACUUUCAACUAAAUUUUCUCUAGGACCGUAUUUUAAACAGUAGAACUAAAGCGUAUGACAUAAUUCGCAAAGACCUUUUGACUAUGUUCAUGAUAAUGAAGUUCAUCUAAUUAUGAACUCCCACUCAGAUAGACAUCCCUCUAGUCAUCUAAGUGAAACAUGAUCCGAGUUUAACUAGGCCGUGUCCGAUCAUCACGUGAGACGGACUAGUCAAGAUCGGUGAACAUCUCCAUGUUGAUCGUAUCUUCUAUACGACUCAUGCUCGACCUUUCGGUCCUCCGUGUUCCGAGGCCAUGUCUGUACAUGCUAGGCUCGUCAAGUCAACCUAAGUGUAUUGCGUGUGUUCCGAGGCCAUGUCUGUACAUGCUAGGCUCGUCAACACCCGUUGUAUUCGAACGUUAGAAUCUAUCACACCCGAUCAUCACGUGGUGCUUCGAAACAACGAACCUUCGCAACGGUGCACAGUUAGGGUGAACACUUUCUUGAAAUUAUUAUAAGGGAUCAUCUUACUUACUACCGUCGUUCUAAGCAAAUAAGAUGCAAAGACAUGAUAAACAUCACAUGCAAUCAAAUAGUGACAUGAUAUGGCCAAUAUCAUCAUGCUCCUUUGAUCUCCAUUUUCGGGGCACCAUGAUCAUCUUCGUCACCGGCAUGACACCAUGAUCUCCAUCAUCAUGAUCUCCAUCAUUGUGUCUUCAUGAAUUCGUCACGCCAACGAUUACUUCUACUUCUAUGGCUAACGCGUUUAGCAACAAAGUAAAGUAAUUUACAUGGCGUUAUUCAAUGACACGCGGGUCAUGCAAAAUAAUAAAGACAACUCCUAUGGCUCCUGCCGGUUGUCAUACUCAUCGACAUGCAAGUCGUGAUUCCUAUUACAAGAAUAUGAUCAAUCUCAUACAUCACAUAUAUCAUUCAUCACAUCUUCUGGCCAUAUCACAUCACAUAGCACUUGCUGCAAAAACAAGUUAGACGUCCUCUAAUUGUUGUUGCAAGUUUUUACGUGGUUUGUAGGUUUCUAGCAAGAACGUUUUCUUACCUACGUAUGACCACAACGUGAUUUUCCAAUUUCUAUUUACCCUUCAUAAGGACCCUUUUCAUCGAAUCCGUUCCGACUAAAGUAGGAGAGACAGACACCCGCUAGCCACCUUAUGCAUCUAGUGCAUGUCAGUCGGUGGAACCUGUCUCACGUAAGCGUACGUGUAAGGUCGGUCCGGGCCGCUUCAUCCUACAAUGUCGCCGAAACAAGAAACGACUAGUAGCGGCAAGGAGAAUUGGCAAACUCAACGCCCACAACUGCUUUGUGUUCUACUCGUGCAUAGUAACUACGCAUAGACCUGGCUCAUGAUGCCACUGUUGGUAAUCGUAGCAUAAUUUUAAAAUUUUCCUACGUUCACCAAGAUGCAUCUAUGGAGUAUACUAGCAACGAGGGGAAGGGAGUGCAUCUACAUACCCUUGUAGAUCGCGAGCGGAAGUGUUCCAAUGAACGUGGAUGACGGAGUCGUACUCGCCGUGAUCCAAAUCACCGAUGACCGAGUGCCGAACGGACGGCACCUCCGCGUUCAACACACGUACGGUGCAGCGACGUCUCCUCCUUCUUGAUCCAGCAAGGGGGAAGGAGAGUUCGAUGGAGAUCCAGCAGCACGACGGCGUGGUGGUGGAUGUAGCGGGUCUCGGCAGGGCUACGCCGAGCUUCUGCGAGACGGAGAGGUGUAACAGGGGAGGAGGGAGGCGCCCAAGGCUGUAGGUUGCUGCCCUCCCUCCCCCCCUUUAUAUAGGCCCCCUUGGGAGGGGGGCCGGCCAAAACCCAUCUAGGGUUGGGGGGCGGCGGCCAAGGGGUGGAAAGGGGUGCCUUGCCCCCCAAGGCAAGGGGGAAGUCCCCCCACCCUAGGGUUCCCAACCCUAGGCGCAUGGGGGGAGGCCCAAGGGGGGGGCGCCCAGCCCACUAGGGGCUGGUUCCCUUCCAGUUUCAGCCCAUGGGGCCCUCCGGGAUAGGUGGCCCCACCCGGUGGACCCCCGGGACCCUUCCGGUGGUCCCGGUACAAUACCGGUAACCCCCGAAACUUUCCCGGUGGCCGAAACUUGACUUCCUAUAUAUAAUUCUUCACCUCCGGACCAUUCCGGAACCUCUCGUGACGUCCGGGAUCUCAUCCGGGACUCCGAACAACUUUCGGGUUUCCGCAUACAUAUAUCUCUACAACCCUAGCGUCACCGAACCUUAAGUGUGUAGACCCUACGGGUUCGGGAGACAUGCAGACAUGACCGAGACGCCUCUCCGGUCAAUAACCAACAGCGGGAUCUGGAUACCCAUGUUGGCUCCCACAUGUUCCACGAUGAUCUCAUCGGAUGAACCACGGUGUCGAGGAUUCAAUCAAUCCCGUAUGCAAUUCCCUUUGUCAAACGGUAUGUUACUUGCCCGAGAUUCGAUCAUCGGUAUCCCAAUACCUUGUUCAAUCUCGUUACCGGCAAGUCUCUUUACUCGUACCGCAAUGCAUGAUCCCGUGACUAACGCCUUAGUCACAUUGAGCUCAUUAUGAUGAUGCAUUACCGAGUGGGCCCAGAGAUACCUCUCCGUCACACGGAGUGACAAAUCCCAGUCUCGAUCCGUGCCAACCCAAAAGACACUUUCGGAGAUACCCGUAGUGCACCUUUAUAGUCACCCAGUUACGUUGUGACAUUUGGCACACCCAAAGCACUCCUACGGUAUCCGGGAGUUGCACGAUCUCAUGGUCUAAGGAAAAGAUACUUGACAUUGGAAAAGCUCUAGCAAACGAAACUACACGAUCUUUUAUGCUAUGCUUAGGUGUAACGCCCACGAUGCGGCUAUAUCUCCCACGUGUCGAGGCACGACUUAGAGGCAUAACCGCAUAGUGGUUUUCUCGCAAGAAGGGUCAUCUUCACACAAUCCCAUGUAAUGAACAAGAAUGGGAUAAAGAGUUGGCUUACAAUCGCCACUUCACCCAAUACAUAAAUAUCAUUCAUACAUCAUCCAAAAUACAAUCAUAUAGACCGAGUACGGUCAAAAUCCAGAUGAAAAUAAGACAACCCCAAAUGCUAGAUCCCCGAUCGUCCCAACUGGGCUCCACUACUGAUCAUCAGGAAAAGACACAUAGUAACGACCACGUUCCUCGUCGAACUCCCACUUGAGGUCGACGCCAUCAUCUGCACUGGCAUCGUCGGCACCUGCAACUGGUGUUGGAAGUAUCUGUGAGUCACGGGGACUCAGCAAUCUCACACCCGCGAGAUCAAGACUAUUUAAGCUUAUAGGACAAGGAGGUGCAAAGAGGUGGAGCUGCAGCGACAAAAGCAUAUAUGGUGGCUAACUUGCGUAAAUGAGAGCGGGAAGAGAAGCAAAGGAACGGACGUCAUCUAGCAAUGACCAAGAAGAGGUCCUGAACGCCUACUUACGUCAUACAUAACACAGACCGUGUUCACUUCCCGGACUCCGCCGAGAAGAGACCAUCACGGCUACACACGCACUUGGUGUAUUUUAAUUGGGUCAAGUGACAAGUUAUCUACAACCGGACAUUAACAAAUUACCAUCUGCCUCAUAACCGCGGGCACGGCUUUCGAAAAAUAAUACCCUGCAGGGGUGUCCCAACUUAGCCCAUCAUAAGCUCUCACGGUCAACGAAGGAUAAACCUUCUUCCGGAAAGACCCGAUCAGUCUCGGAAUCCCGGUUUACAAGACAUCUCGACAAUGGUAAAACAAGACCAGCAAAGCCUCCCGAAUGUGCCGACAAAUCCCGAUAGGAGCUGCACAUAUCUCGUUCUCAGGGCACACCGGAUUGUCCAAGCUUCCGAUAGGCCAGACCAAAGUUGCCCCUGGUGGCCACCGGCGACUGACAGUUUGGACCAAUACUCAGAGGAGCACUGGCCCGGGGGUUUAAAUAAAGAUGACCCUCGGGCUCUAGAAAACCCGGGGGAAAAAGGUAUAGGUCGCAAAUGGUAAAACCAAGGUUGGGCCUUGCUGGAGGAGUUUUAUUCAAGGCGAACUGUCAAGGGGGUCCCAUAAAUCACCCGACCGUGUAAGGAACGCAAACUCAAGGAACAUAAUCCCGGUUUAACAGUAACUAGUGCGGCAAGAGUGGAACAAAACACCAGGCAUAAGGCCGAGCCUUCCACCCUUUACCAAAAUAUAUAGAUGCAUUAAUUAAAUAAGAGAUAUAGUGAUAUCCCAACAUAUCCAUGUUCCGACAUGGAACAAACUUCAACUUCACCUGCAACUAGCAACGCUAUAAGAGGGGUUGAGCAAAAGCGGUAACAUAGCCAAACAACGGUUUGCUAGGAAAAGAUGGUUAGGGCUGACAUGGCUGAAAUAGGAGACAUGAUAUAGCAAGUGAUAGGUAGCGAGCAUGGCAAUAGAGCGAACAACUAGCAUAGCAAAGAUAGAAGUGAUUUCGAGGGGUGGUCAUCUUGCCUGCAAGAUUCUCAGAGUUGUCGAAAGCUUGAUCCUCGUAAGCGUACUCGACAGGUUCCUCGUUCACGAACUCGUCUCCCGGCUCUACCCAAGACAAGAACACAAACAAACGGAACCACAAUCAACAACGAGAAAUGCACAAGCAACAUGAUGCAAGACAUGUAUGAUAUGCAAGAUAUGAUAUGCGAUGCGUAUGCGUGCUCCGGAAGGAAAAUGAUGAACAUGGCAGUAACUUGGCAAACCAAGCAUGCCACUGGAAAGAUGAGAUGAUUUCGGUCGAAAUCGAUAUAAAGAUCACCGGAAUCGGAUACACGGUUUGCAAAUGACAAGCAAAACAAGAAUGACACUAAUCUGCGAUAAACAGCAAGAUAGCACUUAAAAUGCAACAAGUAACAAUGCUAUAGCACCCCAACAUAGCAUCAAAGCACAUGGCAGUAAUCUACAGGAGAUGCUUGACAAAAGAUGAACACUGAGCUACGGCUAGUUCACAACAUUUCAAGCUCAAACAAGCAUGGCAAAAGUGCAAAAGAUUACAGGUUCACAGACUUAGUGAAAAACUGGACAUGGCAGAAAUCAGCAUCAGGUAGCAAUGUUCAGAGCACGAAAUCAACAUGCUACAGGAACUUAACAUUGCAAAACAAGGCAUAGUAGUGUACUACUAAAUGCACAUGACAAAAGUCCCUUACUGACCAUAAGCCAAAAAGGACCAGAAGAUAUGAUGGCAAGCAUGUAAACAUAUCAAGUUUCGUUAUCAGGUUUCAGACUUAGCAGAAAACAGAGCAUGGCAGAAAUAUUAAUAUGUAGGCCUCUUUGUGAGCUUGAUGCACUCACUACAGAGCAAUGCAUGACAAACCAAGCAUACCUACAGCAAGAUGGCAUGUUUAUGAAGCUUUCCAUGGCAAGAACAAUUGCAUAGCAUGUAUGGAUAAACUACAAUAAGCUUGGCAAAAAUGCAUGUCAUGUUAAGAAUCUGUCAGAAAUAUUUUAUAGCAAAAGUAGAGCAAGAUUGAGUCAUUCUAUGGUACUCUAAAAUUGCAAACAAUUGCAGGAAUGGAUCAAUUACAACUAUAGAUACAAAACAUCCUUACUGAAUAUCUCCAAAAUAUGCAUGGAUCUCUCUCUAGCAUCAAGUUUACAUGGCAACAAAAUUACAGCAGACAAAAACUUAGAGAAAUCACCAAGUCCCUGAAAUCAGAAAUAUUACGGGGCCUACUUUGCAUGCUUGUGCUAGUCACCACAAAGAUCACAAAAAUACAUGUACUAUACCACUGGAAAGAUGGCAUGGCAUACUUCAAAACACAUGUAGAGCUCAUGCUCAAAAGAUGCACAGAAUAAAUGAUACAAAAAUGACAAAUCUCCAAGUUCUGAUAAGAACCAGAGAUUAACAACAACUAGCCCUCUUCCAACGAAGAUUUGGGCAUCAAGAUGACCUCUAAUGAAAAUGGUGCAAUUGAACAAAAUGAAGAGCAUUACGAGACAAACAAUUUGACAUAUUACACGCGCGAAUCGGAGCUACAUGCACGAAGUUAUCACAUCUUGAACAGGAGCACAUGCUGAUGGAAUUUUAUGACUUGGGAAAAAAAUCGAAGGCUAGGAAAGUCAACGGGGACGGGAGAUGUACCAGAUCCCGAUCGGGCCGGCUCCUCGAGCUCGGCUCGCUCGCCGGUCGGGAGGGAAGAGGAGGCGGGCGCCGGCGGAGGAGAGGGUCGUCGGAGGUGGGGGUCGCCGGAGGGGUGGCGGUGAGGGAGGCCGGAGGCGCGGGCCUCGGGCGGCGGGGCACGGUGCCGGCGGCGGAGAUGGCGGCGGGGCACGGCCGUCNNNNNNNNNNNNNNNNNNNNNNNNNNNNNNNNNNNNNNNNNNNNNNNNNNNNNNNNNNNNNNNNNNNNNNNNNNNNNNNNNNNNNNNNNNNNNNNNNNNNNNNNNNNNNNNNNNNNNNNNNNNNNNNNNNNNNNNNNNNNNNNNNNNNNNNNNNNNNNNNNNNNNNNNNNNNNNNNNNNNNNNNNNNNNNNNNNNNNNNNNNNNNNNNNNNNNNNNNNNNNNNNNNNNNNNNNNNNNNNNNNNNNNNNNNNNNNNNNNNNNNNNNNNNNNNNNNNNNNNNNNNNNNNNNNNNNNNNNNNNNNNNNNNNNNNNNNNNNNNNNNNNNNNNNNNNNNNNNNNNNNNNNNNNNNNNNNNNNNNNNNNNNNNNNNNNNNNNNNNNNNNNNNNNNNNNNNNNNNNNNNNNNNNNNNNNNNNNNNNNNNNNNNNNNNNNNNNNNNNNNNNNNNNNNNNNNNNNNNNNNNNNNNNNNNNNNNNNNNNNNNNNNNNNNNNNNNNNNNNNNNNNNNNNNNNNNCGCGCCGAUUGGCUGCGGCCGGUGCGUCCGGCCGGCGGCGGACGUGUCCGGCGCGGCGCGAGGAGAGGGUUAGGGUUUCGUCUGCAAAUGCGUUUUUCGGGAUGCCCACUCAUUUAUAGGUAGAGGGAGCUAGGAGACUCCAAAUGAGGUGCGGUUUUCGCCCACACGAUCGUGAUCGAACGACCUAGAGCAUGGAAGAGAGUUUGGUGGGCUUUGGGCUGGUUUUGGAGGGGGUUUUUGCUGGACACUCAAAUGGACAUAGCGGAGGCCCGGUUAAUCGUUGGAGUACCAAACGACCUCCGAAUGGAACGAAACUUGACCGGUAGUCUCCGGGUGGUAUAUUAAGACCACAUGACAAGCCUCGGUCCAUUCCGGGAAAGUUUGACACACGCACACGAAAGAAAACUAGAGGGGUGCACCGGAGGAGAUAGGAGCGCCGGAUUGGAAAACGGACAACGGGGAAAAAGCUCGGAUGCAUGAGACGAACACGUAUGCGAAUGCAAUGCACAUGAUGAUAUGAUAUGAAAAUGCAUGACAUGACAAAAUACAAAACGAAAGACAAAACCCAAAAACGGAGGGAAAAACAUAUCACAUUAACGGAAAUGGCAAGAGUCGGAGUUACAAAUAUGGCAAGUUACAUGCGGGGUGUUACAUUAGGAUUGGGUCUUGUCCAUCACAUCAUUCUCCUAAUGAUGUGAUCCCGUUAUCAACGACAUCCAAUGUCCAUGGUCAGGAAACCGUAACCAUCUAUUGAUCAACGAGCUAGUCAACUAGAGGCUUACUAGGGACAUGGUGUUGUCUAUGUAUCCACACAUGUAUCUGAGUUUCCUAUCAAUACAAUUCUAGCAUGGAUAAUAAACGAUUAUCAUGAAUAAGGAAAUAUAAUAAUAACCAAUUCAUUAUUGCCUCUAGGGCAUAUUUCCAACACGAAGGCGUCAAAGCGUCCAUCUCGUUGGUGUAGGCCUUGUAUGAAGCCUUGGAUGUGCCCGUGUAGAGACGCACAACGUCCCACUCGUAAGCUAUGGUCGGGUAUCGAGUAGAGUCGCCAUCUUCGCCAAACGCAUCCCAUGGAUGUCUUUGCCAAUUCUCCGGACUUCCCACCGGCAGCCGCUCCCACAUCCAAAUGGAGAGGGCCCACACAAAUCCACACAUACCAGAAGUAUCUUCCGUCCUCUGGGUUGCCUCGUCAAGCUACAAAACAACAAUUGAUGAUCAGAUAUAACACAAUAUCAUGGAGCAUACAUUCAUAAAAAGGAAUGAGAUACUCUCUUACCGAGCGGUAUACCACUAGUAGAAAACGACCCAUUUGUCCGGUUCCAGAGGCCCAUUAGCCCCGGUUCUGGAACCGGGACUAAAGGGUCGGGACUAAAGCCCAAAACCUUUAGUCCCGGUUCUCUUACAAACCGGGACUGAAGGUGCUCCACGUGGCCGCUGCGGGGAGCCCAUGUAGGAGGGUAUUUAGUCCCGGUUGGUAACACCAACCGGGACCAAAAGGCAUCCACGCGUCAGCAGCUCAGGAGCUGGGGUUUUUGUUUUUUAAAGGGGGUGGUGGUUUAGGGGGUUUUGGAGGGUUAAUUUAGGGGUUUCAUAUUGUGUUAGGUAGCUAAUAGAGAGAAGUGUCCUCUCUUUCUCCUUGCUUGGUCGACGCUAGCUACUAUACGUAUAAAGAGAACUGACACGCUAGCUAGUAAGCAUAUGAAGGAACCAUUAAGUACACAAGAUCGUCAUGAACAUAUACAGAGAUAAGUGAUCGACCUCUCUUUCUUCGAGAGAUUGGUCGAACAACAAGUUUUCGUAUAUCUAUCUGACGCUACUAGCUACAUAUCACUACUAGAAAUCCAUGUUUUACCUAGGGCCAUAUACCCUAGGUGAAAUGCAAAAAACCAUAGGGAAAGACUUUACCUAGAGCUUGCCCUAGGUAAAGAACCCUAGGUGUAGUAUAGUCGGGAAAGAGGUCUUUCCCUAGAGUGCAUGAGUCAAGCUCUAGGGAAACCAUCUUUACCUAGGGGCGCAAACCCUAGGGAAAGAUUGUGGGGUCCAUCUAAAUUAUGCCACCCCCAACUUUCCCUAGAGCUCUUUCCCUACCAGAUGUUUGAAAAUUACCCUAGGGAUACAUCAUAUUCAUACCUUUCCUGUACAAAUAUGCAAUUUGAAUAAAAAUUCAAAUUCAAAUUCAUAUCUACCAUAAUUCAAAUAAUUAAAUUGAAAGAAUAUUUCAAAUUUAUAAAUCACAUCCAAAAUUCAUCAUACACAUCAAAUUCAUAAUGAAUGAACACAUACAUCAGAUACAUGGUCAACUUAAAGCCAAAUUCAAAAAAAUAGCCUAUAGCUGAAGUUAGUUAUUGCAAGUAGAACACCUUGACCAAUAUGUACAAGCAAUGUUGGUCACGCUGAGUAUCAAAAAUACUUGUUACAACAUGCUAUCUAUACAUGUACCCAAAAUCAUUAACUCUCAAGAGGUUGCCUUCCCAGGAGAGACAAAGCUGAGUGAGUUAGUUCCAAAUGCAUUAUCAAUAAAAAUCCAACCGUCCCUGCAACACCUGCGUCAGGCUCCAGAUUCAAAUCUUGGGGAGAAGCAUCCAAAGUGACAUUAUGGUCCUGAAAUUAUGUUGACAAGCAGUUUAGCACAUAGUUAUGAGGCUUGAAUAUUCUGGUAGAAUUUUGGUAGCAUAAUCAUAAUUUGCACAAUAUGGACAGGAGAAUGUAAACCCUCCCCACAGCCCACAUAGCCCUGGCAAUGAAAAUAUAUGAUCAUGCUUCACACGGAAGCAACAGAACCAUACAUAUCACCACACAUCGCGCUUUGCACAUCGCAGAAGCAUGCAUUUGAACAUCAGAAUUGCAGGAACAUACAAAGUUUGUAUAAUCCAAAGUUAAUUUCAGAAAACGUACAUGAUCUGCAUGUUCCUGAGCACACAAAUUUAGUGGUUCUUGGCUCGUUUCAAGGAUCUGCAAGAUAAGGGCCCGGUUGUGAAAAUAUACAUGGGCAUGCUCAUGUAAAUCAACUUGUACAUUAGCCGUGUCUCAAAUAGAUUAAAAUACAUACAUGGCCAGUUAAGCGAUGUGUUCCGUAUACACUACUCAUAUCAUGCUUACUCUGUUCUAUAGGAAAAACAAAGCAAAGGAAAGGAUAGCUCUAUGGAUUAGUUCCCUAGUUCUGUAAAGUUUCAGCUGAAUUUAAGCUGCAGAAAAUAGCAGAAAAGAAACUAUGCAAUCAAAAUAUACUAAAUCUAUUGAUAUGGUAUUCAUAGCUCCCAAUUACAAUAACAAAGGUAAAAUAAUUUGCUAAUACUCCAUUAGAUGUUGAUUUUAUGCAUGGAAACGAAUUUAAGCAAAUCAUCACUCUAAAAUCUAUAACUGACAGAAGCAAAAUGGUCUUACACCCGUGCAAGAGCUCCCCCCCCAUGAGACGCAUGUACAUAUACUGGUGAAUCUGCAUCCCAAGUUGAUGUUGCUUCUCCAAGCUAGAAAACAACAAUGUAGUCUCUAAACAAUCCUUGGUACCUUUAAAUCACGAAAACAUUCAGUCAGGAAAUAUGUUUUAGGUUAACAAAAAGUUAGUGCAGGAGAGACGACUACCAAGGAUAUCAUUCCAAGUCAUAGCAAAAAGGUAGUUAAGCACAGAGAGUAAAAUCCAUAGAUUAAAAUAGCCCGCGAAAUAGCCGCGAUAGCUGCGCUAUAGCUGCCCGGGAGCCUCGCCGCUAAGCUAUGGCUGCUGCCGCGAAAUCCUCUACAUAUCCUCUAAAUAGCUAAAAAAUCAGCAAAACCCUCCAAAAUCAUCUCUCCCACCAGAAAAAUUUCCGCUAUUUGCCGCGAUUGCCCGCUAUGGCGGCCGCAAUAGCUGCUGGGAGAGGCCGCCGCGAAAUCGUUUCUCCUGCGAUCUUAAUCUAUGGUAAAAUCACAGCCAAGAAUUUCUUAGGCAAUUUAGGAGCGGAAGGAAACAAAGAGCUGAUCUUUAGUGAUUAACUCAGUGCUCAUAUUUAAUUAGUAUUUUGGUUCAGUUUGAUUUGUUACAAAGUAGCUUAUAUAUAAUUAAUGUUAGAAAUGUAUUUUGUAAUCUAAUGUGGAUAAGAUCAAUGUAAUUAUCUAUGUUCUCAAUAUUCUGCAAAAUCUAACUUGUUUAAGUGGACGGCAUUCGUGAGCAUCUGCGAACAGAAAAACUAACAUGGUUGUUAAAGUAACAAAGAUAGUGCAAUUUUUGCUUCGCGGAUAUGCAGACGCUGUCCGCUUGCAUCCCUUACAGUCGUAUGAUUUUGUAUUUGAUUUUUUGUUUUAUCUUUGCCCCUCCUUAGAUUUCUUUCAAGCUCUGCCACUGCUAGCAUGGUCAACCUGCAUCAUAGAUACCAUAUAUCUGUCUUUAAAUCUGAACUUGAACUAAAAAGAUGUAACUACUAGAUCUUUUAUGUGAAAGUGCUACUUUUAAGUUCUGGAUCUGGACAAAACGUGCAAGCUGAAACACCUAAAUUGAUAGACAUCUAUUACUAAACCUGCAGAAAAAGACGUGCAAAGGGCAAACUGAUAUUCUGCCACAACGGCAAGCUAGCCGAAAGCAGCAGUCAGGUAAUCUAUGCAUAAUUUCUUAACAAGCAAAUCACAGAUCUGCACACCGAACACAUCAGAACAUAUACAUCUACCUAAACCAGAGAGCGGGAGACAGGGAGAGAACCUUUGGAGAGAAGUCGAGGUGGUGGAUGCGAUCUUGAUCUAGCGGCGAGGUGGAUGCCGUUGUCCUCGCCGUAGUGCUCGAGGUGCAGGAGAGGAGGGGGCCGUCAGGGAGGAGCUCGUCGGGAACAACCGCGUCGAGGAGGAGCUCGAGGUCGAGGUGGCGUUGAGGAGGCAACGGUGGUGGCGGCAGUCAGAUCCGCGCGAGGACAUCGUGCCCACCGCCAGAUGGUCCGCCUUGGUCACCGAUGUGGUAGAGAAGGGAAAGAAGAGGCGACGCAGCGAAGCAGGGCCGGUAGGGGCACGGCGGGGUGGUGGCGCGCGGCGGGCCAUGGAGAUUUGGGAGAGGAAGAUUGCGGACAGAAGGGUGGGGGGGAUUUUCUCCGGCGGCGGCGAACGCUUUGAGGCACGGGUGAAGGAGACCUAAUUUAGUCGAAAUUUUGGCAUUGCGCGCCCUUUCUCCCUUCGCUAUCUCACUGCAGAGUGGGCCCUGGGGGUGAAAGGCGCGCGCGUCGACGCGGGAUGCCAUCUCUUCGUGUUUUUCGGGAUGGAUGGUAUGCACGUGGCACCAGGAGUUAGGAAAUUUUAUUUUCCAUUUUUUUUCAACAGAAAUGUCUUUCCCUAGAGGGGUACUGUUCAUUACUUUUCUUUCCCUUGAGGAGAUUAAUAAGCUCUAGGUGAAGGCCUUAGCCCUAGGUAAAUCAUGGAUUUCUAGUAGUGUAUAUACAAUAUAAGAUCUCUUACAAUCCCUAACAUCUAAUGUCAAAUUUCACAUGGUAUUCUCUGGCUUUAUUUAUGACGUGGUCAAAAAAGAAUCCCACCAAUUCCUCUUGAAUUGCUCGUAUCCGAUCAUGUGGUAGGAGUUCAUCCCGCAUCUGCCAGAUCUAAUUUAGAGAAGGGGAUAAAUACAUAUAUAUGAAUGAAACUCAACACAAACGAUGGUAAUAAAAUAAAAUUGUGAAUAUUAUUGCUUACACACUUCAUAUUGUUUUUCAGUGUAGCCCCACUCACAGGUCGAGUGGCGGAUGAACUCGCAAACGUAGUAACCACAAAAAUCAUUCCCGCCUUCCCGCCAUAAGCACUUUACGAGAAAUAGAGUUCAGUCAAACUAAUAAUCAAGCAUGAUAGAUGGUAUUGAUGAAACUAGAUAGAAUCAAUGGGAGAUGCACGGAACUAGCUAGUAGUACUUACUUUCGGGUAUGUAAAUCGCAGCUCCCCCGGCAGUCCCAGAGCUAUUGCGGUGAACUCUUUCCAAACCCUGCGAGACAAAGAAAAUAAUUACUUGAUAUCAGGAAAUGAACAAAGUUGCCGAUAUGGUGCGAUAAUGAUCGAUUGAACUUACUUCCGGAGCAUUUCAGUCAUGUCCGCAUACUCCUGGGGAUCUUUUCGUCUCGAGUCUAAGACGGUUACUACUCCCUGCUCAAGCUUAAUCUCUAGCAGAAUAAAGUGAAAGCUGCGCACGCAUGCAUAACUCAUCAAUUACAUUACUAUAACCUCAAGUAAUAAGGGAAACUGAAUAUGGACAAGACAGUAAUACUCACUUGAAGUUGUAAGAAAAGAGUAUUUUAUCUUUGUUUUGAUUUUUGAGCAACGAUUUUAGCAAGUUGUCUUCGGUUUCUGUGACAUUCUUUUUAACCGUCCAUUCAUGUAUGACAUUUGGGUUAAUGAACCCAAUGCCCCAGAUUUGUGCUUUUCUGCAUUCGACGAUCUUCAAUCUGCAUAAUAUAGCGAGGAUAAUUAUAUAUACAUGCAAUGAAAGAGCUAAGCUAUAUAUAGAGACUUAAUUACAGAAGUAGUACUUAUAGACAGUAGCAAGUCAAGAUUGUUUUGUCGAGGGCCUUUUGAUUGUAUAACUGGAAUAACUCGUCAAAUGUAACAGACAACUGAUCCAUUCCAACGAGGUCGUGCUCAUCUUUAAUUCUCAGCGUCAAAGUAUCCUUCCCAGACUCGCUGCAGGUUUCCAUGUACCAUUCAUGGAAUCUUCGCAUCAUCGUUGUUAGAGGAGGAUGAUUGGUUUUGAUGAGAGGCUUCCUGUACUGGUAUCUGAAUUCGUCCACCUACAUUGUUUCAAACACCACAUCAUCGCUCACGUAAUCAGUAGGAUUGGUACCAGGCACCAUCCCCGGCAGAUUAGCGACAAUAUCGCUAGGCACCUUGAGCGGGGGGCACGAUUGGUUCGCCUGUUCGCCGAGCUGGGGAAUUUUUUCCCACUUCUUCGUUCUGCUAACCUUUUAUCACUGGAAGUAGUUCCCGACCACCGCGCAUCUUGAUACGUACUUUGAAGAGCGCAUAAAUAGUUGGAAUCAUGCGGAGGCGGUGGUGGUCGCUUCAGGACAUCGAUAGGGCGCUGCACUUUCACCGGAUCUAUCAUCUCCUUCGGAGGUGGAGGUUUCUUUGCAAAAUGGUCCCUCACUUGGGCAUGACAGAUGUCCUCAUUUUCCUUCUCGGUCCUCUCAUAUGGUAACUUUUCCAGAGGCUUGAGAGAUGGACCGUAUCUGAAUUGCCUGCCGCCUCUGCAUGUACUGCUAUCCGCGGGAGCGGCGUCGUCUCAUUUCCGCUGUUGCUUACGAGGCGAAGAAGGAGGCGGAGUGCUCCGACGCGCCGGAGGAGCCGGAGCGGCAGCGUCUGUCUUCCGCCGUUGCUGACGAGGCGGAGGAGGAGGCGGACUGCUCGGACGCGCCGGAGGAGGCGGAGUGGCCUCGCGCGCCGGAGCAGCCGGAGAAGGAGGCGGAGUGCCCUGAUCACUCGCCGGAGGAGGAGGAGGAGGAGGAGGCGGACUGCCGUGACUCGCCGGAGGAGGAGGAGGAGGCGGAGGCGUCUAGUUUGGAAGCUUGAUGUACUCCUUCCACCAUAGACAUGGAUUCUUCAGAGCAAGACCCAGCUGAAUCUCCCCUACACCUGUAGGGUGGUCAAGCUCGAGCUCCUCAAAUCCCUCCAUUACUUCAUCCACCAUCACAACAGCAUAGCCAUGUGGAAUCGGACGACAGUGAAAAGUUUUGUUGGGUUGAGGAGGUGCAACAGAGCCGACAGCCGCCUUCAAGGUGAGGUUCUGGCAUUUCGUCAUAAGCUAGGAAUGUUGAGCCUCCGUGAUAGCAUCCACUGGGAAGCUAGUAGCCGUGAAGUCAAGCUGCUGAACGAGCUCCGUGGAAGCCAUGCUGCUUCUCCACUGAGAUGGCGGGGUAGCUUCGUGCCGCUGAGAUGGAGCUCCGGCUGCUCGCUGUCUCUCAACUUGUUCCUCUAGCUUUUCUUGCAUUGAGCUUCUACAUUUCGCUCAGCUCCUGUUUCCUCUUCCUCUCCCAGGUUUUGUAACCGCCUGCGCCGGGAAACCCAACCUUCCACGCAACGGAGCCUGGCAUGCCUCGUGUUCGUCCAGGGUGCUCAGGAUUCCCGAGGGCCUCAGUCAGCUCGUCCUUCUCUUUGUCAGGAAUGAAUGUCCCGUCCUGCGCUGCGGCGAUAUACUUCUGAAGCUUCUUGACGGGUAUUGCAAUUUGCUCGUCCGUCCAAAUGCACUUCCCUGUUUCAGGGUCCAAAGUUCCCCCAACCUCGAAGAACCAAGUCCUUGAACCGUCUGGCCAGUUCAAUGUAUAUGGUUCGACCCCUUUAGCAAUCAGGUCAUUCUCAUCUUUGUCCCACAACGGCCGGGCUUUGAGGUAGCUGCCUGACCCCGUGCGAUGGUGCUACAGCUUCUUUGCAGCAUUUAUCUUGUUUGUCUCUGACAUCUUCUUACUCUUGUCCGAUGUCUUGUAGGCCACAAAUGCGGGCCAGUGAUCUCUUAUCUUCUCAAAUCGGCCGGUGAAUUCUGGAGUCUUCCCUUUGUCGACUGAUGACCCUCAAGUAUAGGGGAUCAAUUGUAGCUCUUUUCGAUACGUAAGAGUGUCGAACCCAACGAGGAGCAGAAGGAAAUGACAAGUAGUUUCCAGUAAGGUAAUGUCUGCAAGUGCUGAAAUUGUAAGUAGCGGAGUAGUUUGAUAGCAAGAUAAUUUGUAACGAGCAAGUAACGAUAAUUGUAACAAGUAUGCAGUAAGGUAGCCCAAUCCUUUUGAGGCAAAGGACUGGACAAAACGGUCUCUUAUGAUAAGCAAAGUGUUCUUGAGGGUACACGGGAAUUUCAUCUAGUCACUUUCAUCAUGUUGGUUUGAUUCGUGUUCACUACUUUGAUAAUUUGAUAUGUGGGUGGACCGGUGCUUAGGUGUUGUUCUUACUUGAACAAACCUCCUACUUAUGAUUAACCCUCCCGCAAGCAUCCGCCACUACGAGAAAAGUAUUAAGAAUAAAUUCUAACCAUAGCAUUAAACUUUUGGGUCCAAUCGGUCCCUUACGGAAUAGCGCAUAAACAGGGGUUUAAGUUUCUAUCACUCUCGCAACCCACCAUCUAUUUACUACUCCACAAUGCAUUCCCUUAGGCCCAGAUAUAGUGAAGUGUCAUGUAGUCGACGUUCACAUGACACCACUAAGGGAAUCACAACAUACCUACCAUCAAAAUAUCGAACACAUAUCAAAUUCACAUGAUUACUUGCAACAUGAUUUAUCCCAUGACCUCAUCGACGAAAGUAACUACUCACAAAUAAUAAACAUGCUCAUGAUCAGAGGAGUAUUAAAUAUCAUCAUGGAUCUGAACAUAUAACUUCCACCAAAUAAACCAUAUAGUAAUCAACUACAAGAUGUAAUCAACACUACUAGUCAACCCCUAGCACCAAUCUAUAGUUCCGGUAACGAGAAUACAAGAGAUGAACUAGGGUUUGAGAUGAGAUGGUGCUGGUGAAGAUGUUGAUGGAGAUUGCCCUCCCCAAUAUGGUAGAGUUGUUGGUGAUGAUGAUGACGAUGAUUUGCCCCUUCGGGAGGGAAGUUCCCCCGGCAGAAUCGCUCCGCGGGGGGUGGGAAGUUCCUCCGGGAGGGAAGUUCCCCCUAGCAAGAUGACUUAUAUACUAGAAGAUGGGCAUCGGAGGUGGGCCAAGGAGGGCACAACCCACAAGGGCGCGCCUGUGCUCCCUGGCGCGCCCAGGUGGGUUGUACCCACCUGGUGGCCCCCCUUGGUAGUUAUUUGCUCCAAUAAUUCUUAAAUAUUCCAUAAAAAAUCCCCAUGAAGUUUCAGCUUGUUUGGAGUUGUGUAGAAUAGGUAGCCUGACGUAGCUUUUUCAGUCCAGAUUUCCAGCUGCCGGAAUUCUCCCUCUUGGUGUGUACCUUGCAAAUUAUGAGAGAAAAGGCAUUAGAAAUACUCCAAAAAGCAUUAUUAUGGAUAAAAACAUUAUAAAUAACAGUAAGAAAACAUGAUGCAAAAAGGACGUAUCAACUCCCCCAAGCUUAGACCUCGCUUGUCCUCAAGCGAAAACCGAAAUUGAAAAACAUGUCCACAUGCUUUGAGAGAGAGGUGUCGAUAAAAACAAAAUACAGACAUAGAAACAUCAUGUUGAUUAUUAUAAAAACAACAAAAUUAAACAUAGGACUUUUAUCAUAGAACUUUUAUCAUAUACUUCUCAUGAAUAAGUAACAGUUCAUCACAUAAUCGAAGUAUCAAGCAAAAACUCUAUUAGAAACCAACAAACUAUGUUCUCAGUCAACUUUGCAACUAUAAUUCAUCAUCUUUUCAGGAAGGGUCACAUGUCGGAGCCUUUAGGCAAGUCCACAUACUCAACCAUCAUAUAGUCUUCUAUGAUUGCUAGGGGCUUAUAGUUUCGCCUCCCAACAUACUCACCUCAAGGGUGACGUCAACAAUAAUAACUCAUGCUAUCUAUAUUCAACUGGACAUAUGUGCCUAGAUCUUUACUCGCCACACGAUGCUUGCCAAAGGAGAAAAAAUAAAAAGGAAUAGAAGGAAAACUUUGACUCUUUGCAUAAAAGUAAAAGAUAGGCCCUUCGCAGAGGGAAGCAGAGGUUGCCAUGCUCUUAUUUGUUUGUAUGCUCAAUCCCUUAUUGCAAAAGAACGUCACGUUACAUUGCCCCUUAAGAUGACAACCUUUAUUAUGCAGUCUGUCGCUUUUAUUCUUUGUCAUCCAAGUUCGUGCAACGCUCAAUUUUCUCUUACACUAAACGAUCUCACACUUUUAGAAGCAAUUUUUAUUGCCUUUUUGCACCGAUGACAACUUACUUGAGGGAUCUUGCCCAAUCCCUAGGUAGGUAUGGUGGACUCUUGAAAAAGAUUUGGGUUUAAGGGUUUUUGGAUGCACAAGUAGUAUCUCUACUUAAUACGGAGUUUUUGACUAGCAAAGAUAGGGGGCAAGCACCACAUGUUAAAGGAUCUAUGACAAUAUGACUUCUUUGUGAAUAUAAACAAACAUAAACCAUUACGUUGUCUUCCUUGUCCAACGUCAAUAGUUUUGGCAUAUAAUAUUUUGAUGAGGGCUCACAAUCACAAAAGAUUUCUAGGAUAGUAUAUUUAUAUGUGAAUCUUCCCUUCCCUUAUUAAUUCUUGCAUGAGUUGCAUCAUUGACUAAUGCUAUGUUUGUUAAUCUCUAAUAAAUAUCCUACUUAUACUUUUCCUUAUGUGGUGCUAUCACCUACCAUAGGAUUAGUAUAUGAUCUUAUUGAUUUAUUUCCUUUCUUUUAUUUGCUUUCUUUCUCUUUUUCUUUCUUUCUUUCUUUAUUUGCAACAUGAAAGUAAAGGAAGCAAAAAAAUCAAACUAAACUUUAUUACAUAACUUGCACACGAUUACAAUGAUAGAUCACUAAGCGAACUCUCAAAGAAGAAAGGAUCGAACUAAACUUUAUUUCAUCUAAAGCAAAAAGAUCGAACUAAGAUAAGUAAAAACAAAAAGAUAGUGGGAUGAUAUGAUACCGGGGCACCUCCCCCAAGCUUGGCGGAAGCCAAGGGGAGUGCCCAUACCCGAUACUUAGUUCUCCUUUGGUGGUGAAGAAGAUGGUGGUGGUGAAGAAGAAGAGAUCUUGUCCUCGGAUUUCCAUGGCCUUGGUCCACCAUCAGAAGAGGAAGAGUGAGUCUCACGGGUCCUACAAUUAGCAGCCAAACUCAUACCUUUAAACCUCACCUCAUAUUCAAAGACUUGGUUUUGAAGAUCAUAGAUCUGGCUUUGGAGGGAGUUGUUUUGCUCGUUGAGGGUGAAGAUGAUGUCCUUCAUGGGCUUGCCAUCGACCUUGAGAUCACGGGAAAGCUCCGUGAUCAUGAGGUGAUUGGCAUUGAGACCACGUUCCACCAUCCCCUUGCACGGGAAGACCUCCUGCUCCAUAGCUUCAAGCCUGGCCUCCACGGUUCCCGUGCCCUUGGGACCUUGCUCAUCGCGGAUGUACAACACCCCCUCAUGCAUCUGGAUGGUUUGAGGGUGCUGCACCACCUCCCGCAGAUAUGGGUUGAUGAUGUUCUUGAAGAACCUGUCCUUGGAGGAAACUGAAGAGGCCAUGGUAGAUGGGAUCUGACAGAAAAUAGCAAGAAAAGAGAACAAAGGAUUUCUCCGUGAUACGGUGGUUAACAGGUUCUGGAAGUAUAUAUAGUUUUUUUAUCUUUGGGGACAAGUAUACGGAAGAAAAACGGAGUACGGAAGGUGUCCCAGGUGGGCACAACCCACCUGGGCGCGCCUGCCUGGCGCGCCCUGGUGUCUUGUGCCCACCAGGGGACGCUUCCUGGAAGAUUCUUUAUUUCCAAAAUUCUAAAAUAUUCCAAAACUGACAAAAAAACAUUUUUGCGGAUUUUUCGGAGUUCGUUUACUUACCGUAUCAUGUAUCUCCUUAUUUUGACGAUUCUGGAGUGUUCUGGAAGGACUCUUUUAUGUGCUCUUCCGGUGUCAAGGUUUCGAUAAUAUUGCUUUCAACAUUAAUAGCCGUACCUGAGAUAUAAUGCUUUAUUCGUUGCCCAUUGACAACCUUCGGGUUAGUACCUUCGGAAUUAUUUAUUUUGAUGGCUCCAGACCAGUAAACCUCCUCGAUGACAUAUGGGCCUUCCCAUUUCGAGAGGAGCUUUCCUGCAAAAAAUCUAAAACAAGAGUUGUACAAAAGAACAUAUUCUCCGACUUUAAACUCACACUUUUGGAUUCUUUUGUCAUGCCAUCUUUUAACCUUUUCUUUGAAUAAUUUUGCGUUUUCAUAUGCUUGGGUUCUCCAUUCAUCUAAAGAGCUUAUAUCAAAUAACCUCUUUUGUUAACCACAGUUGAAACUUUAGCAUGUUCCUUUAUCCUUACAGGAAAAGGGCGUUUCUCAAUAUAAGCAGUAGGAACAACUGGAUCAACAUUAUAGAGUAUAGUUUCUUCUUUAACUGGUACUGGUUUUUAGAUUUCAUCUUUAAUAGGUGGGUGAUAUUUAAACCACUUCUCUUUAGGGAGUUCAACAUGAUUAGCAAAUGAUUCACAAAAGGAGGCUACUUCUCAGAGUCAAGUCCAUAUUUAGUUCUAAACUUUUGAAAAGCAUCGGUAUCCAUAAAAGAUUUAACACAAUUAUACUUAAGCUUUAUACCUGAUUCUUUACCUUCGUCGAGUUCCCAAUCUUCAUAAUUGUGUUUAAUUCUUUCCAAAAGACCCCACCGGAAUUCAAUAGUUUUAUUCAUAAAAGAACCAGCACAAGAAGUAUCCAACAUGGUUUGAUCAUUACGAGAAAGCCGAGCAUAAAAGUUCUGAAUAAUAAUUUCUCUUGAGAGCUCAUGAUUGGGGCAUGAAUAUAACAUUGUCUUAAGCCUCCCCCAAGUUAGAGCGAUACUUUCUCCUUCACGAGGCCAAAAAUUAUAAUUAUAUAUAUAUAUAUAUAAUUCCUAUCAUGAUGAACUAGAUGCAUAGGAUAAUUUUUUGGUGGAACUCCAAUUUUAAAUGAUUCCAAUUCCAUGAUCCAAUAUCAUCGCAUAGCCUAUACCAUGCCAAUUCUUUUCCCUUCCAAGAUAAAGGGAAAACCUUUUUCAUCACCCCAUCUCCGGGUAAACCUGCAAGCUUAAACAAUCCACAAAUUUGUUCUACAUAUAUCAAGUGCAUAUCUAGAUGUUCGGUUCCAUCUCCUGCAUAAGGAUUAGCUAGCAGUUGUUCUAUCACACCCGAAGGUAUUUCAUAUUCAAUAUUUUCAGUAGGUGCAAUAGGCUGAGGGGUAGCUAAUUGUGGUUCCGGACGAGGUGAAGAUACCCCGAACAAACCCCUCAAAGGAUUGUUUUCCAUAGUAGCAAGUGACAAUAAAUUUCAGCACACUAUAUAAGUCUUUCCAUACCAAAUUCCACUUACCAAAGGCGCUUCACUCCCCGGAAACGGCGCCAAAAAAUAGCCUUGAUGACCCACAAGUAUAGGGGAUCAAUUGUAGCUCUUUCCGAUAAGUAAGAGUGUCGAACCCAACGAGGAGCAGAAGGAAAUGACUAGUAGUUUCCAGUAAGGUAAUGUCUGCAAGUGCUGAAAUUGUAAGUAGCGGAGUAGUUUGAUAGCAAGAUAAUUUGUAACGAGCAAGUAACGAUAAUUGUAACAAGUAUGCAGCAAGGUAGCCCAAUCCUUUUGAGGCAAAGGACAGGCCAAAACGGUCUCUUAUGAUAAGCAAAGUGUUCUUGAGGAUACACGGGAAUUUCAUCUAAUCACUUUCAUCAUGUUGGUUUGAUUUGUGUUCGCUACUUUGAUAAUUUGAUAUGUGGGUGGACCGGUGCUUAGGUGCUGUUCAUACUUGAACAAACCUCCUACUUAUGAUUAACCCUCCCGCAAGCAUCCACAACUACGAGAAAUGUAUUAAGAAUAAAUUGUAACCAUAGCAUUAAACUUUUGGGUCCAAUCGGUCCCUUACGGAAUAGCGCAUAAACUGGGGUUUAAGCUUCUGUCACUCUCGCAACCCACCAUCUAUUUACUACUCCACAAUGCAUUCCCUUAGGACCAAAUAUGGUGAAGGGUCAUGUAGUCGACGUUCACAUGACACCACUAAGGGAAUCACAACAUACAUACCAUCAAAAUAUCGAACACAUAUCAAAUUCACAUGAUUACUUGCAACAUGAUUUAUCCCGUGACCUCAAGGAUGGAAGUAACUACUCACAAAUAAUAAACAUGCUCAUGAUCAGAGGAGUAUUAAAUAGCAUCAUGGAUCUGAACAUAUAAUCUUCCACCAAAUAAACCAUAUAGUAAUCAACUACAAGAUGUAAUCAACACUACUAGUCACCCCCUAGCACCAAUCUAUAGUUCUGGUAACAAGAUUGAAUACAAGAGAUGAACUAGGGUUUGAGAUGAGAUGGUGCUGGUGAAGAUGUUGAUGGAGAUUGCCCUCCCCAAGAUGGUAGAGUUGUUGGUGAUGAUGAUGACGAUGAUUUCCCCCUCCGGGAGGGAAGUUCCCCUGGCAGAAUCGCUCCGCCGGAGGGCAAAAGUGCUCCUGCCCAAGUUCCGCCUCGAGACGGCGGUGCUCCGCCCCGAAAGUCUUCUCCUUAUUUUUUCUAGGUCAAAAUGACUUAUAUACCAGAAGAUGGGCACCAGAGGUGGGCCAAGGAGGGCACAACCCACCCGGGCAUGCCUGUGCUCCCUGGCGCGCCCAAGUGGGUUGUGCCCACCUGGUGGGCCCCCUCUGGUAGUUAUUUGCUCCAAUAAUUCUUAAAUAUUCCAUAAAAAAUCUCCGUGAAGUUUCAGCUUGUUUGGAGUUGUGCAGAAUAGGUAGCCUGACGUAGCUUUUUCAGGUCCAAAUUUCCAGCUGCCGGAAUUCUCCCUCUUGUUGUGUACCUUGCAAAUUAUGAGAGAAGAGGCAUUAGAAUUACUCCAAAAAGCAUUAUUAUGGAUAAAAACAUUAUAAAUAACAGUAAGAAAACAUGAUGCAAAAUGGACGUAUCAUCGACAAACGUUGAUUUCAACUCAUUCUUCCACCUCCUGAAUAGAUCUGCCAUCUUGUUAAGAGCACACGCCUUGACCAGUGGCUCUAUAACUGGCUUAUUCGGAUCCUCCUCUGGAGGUAGGGUGAAAUUUGCCUUCAGCGAGGUCCAAAGAUCAUCUUUCUGUCUAUCGGUGACAUAAGAAACUUGAGGGUCUUCGUUCUUAGGUUUAUUGCAUAGCUGGAUGCUGAUCGGGAUGAUGUCCCUAACAAUAGCUCCGCACUGAGCAGAAAAUGCUUCCUUGGUCCGCCUGGGUUCAAUCGGUUGGCCAUCAUCCGAGAUUGCUAUGAUCGUGAACCUUUCAUCCUGGCGCAACCUUUUCUUCGGGCCUCGUCUUGUUACUGAAGUUUGGCUCGAUCCGGAGGGCUAUAAAAGAAGAAACAAGAGUGUAGGAUCGAAAGUAUGUCUAGAGGGGGGUGAUUAGGCUACUUGACCAAAUAAAAACUUAACCUUUUCCCAAUUUUAGUUCUUGGCAGAUUUUAACAACUUAGCACAAGUCAAGCAAUCUUUUCACAAUUCAAGCAAGCAUGCAAAGAGUAUAUGAGCAGCGGAAAGUAAAGCAUGCAACUUGCAAGAAUGUAAAGGGAAGGGUUUGGAGAGUGCAAACGCAAUAGGAGACACGGAUGUUUUUGUCGUGGUUCCAAUAGGUGGUGCUAUCAUACAUCCACGUUGAUGGAGAGUUCAACCCACGAAGGGUAACGGCUGCGCGAGUCCACGGAGGGCUCCACCCACGAAGGGUCCACGAAGAAGCAACCUUGUCUAUCCCACCAUGGCCAUCGCCCACGAAGGACUUGCCUCACUAGGGUAGAUCUUCACGAAGUAGGCGAUCUCCUUGCCCUUACAAACUCCUUGGUUCAACUCCACAAUCUUGUCGGAGGCUCCCAAGUGACACCUAACCAAUCUAGGAGACACCACUCCCCAAAAGGUAAUAGAUGGUGUGUUGAUGAUGAACUCCUUGCUCUUGUGCUUCAAAUGAUAGUCUCCCCAACACUCAACUCACUCUCAUAGGAUUGGAUUUGGUGGAAAUAUGAUUCGAGUGGAAAGCAACUUGGGGAUGGCUAGAGAUCAAGAUUCAUAUGAUUGGAUUGGAAUAUCUUGAUCUCAACACAUGAGUAGGUGGCUCUCUCUCAGAAAAUGGGUAAUGGAAAUGUAGGCACGUUCUGAUGGCUCUCUCCAUGAAUGAAGAGUGGGUGGAGGGGUAUAUAUAGCCUCCACACAAAAUCUAACCGUUACACACAAAUCACCAAACUCGGUGUGACCGAAUCAGAAAACUCGGUCAGACUGAUUUAGUUCAAAAUGUGAACGUAGGAUUUUCGGUGGGACCGACAUGUCAACUUGGUGGGACCGAUAUCAUUAGGGUUCGGGCAUAACGUAAUCUCGGUUAGACCGAUUACUCAAACUCGGAUGGACCGACUUUGGUAAUAGACAAACAGAGAGUUGGUCAGGCGAACUCAGUGGGACCGAUUCGCUCGUCUCGGUGGGACCGAAGCGUUACGAAAAGGAAAUAGAGAGUUUGCAUUGCAGACUCGGUGGGACCAAUCGCUCAGUUCGGUGAGACCGAAACGUUACGAAGGGAAACAGAGAGUUUGCAAUCCCAUCUCGGUGAGACCUAGAUCCCUAUCGGUGAGACCAAAAAGACUAGGGUUUCUGGCAGUGGCUAUGUCAAAUGAACUCAGUGGCGCCGGAUGGAUCAAAUCGGUGGGGCCGAGGUUGACUUUUGGUUUGGGACAUAUGUGGAUAUGAAAAAGUAGUUGAGGGCUUUGGAGCAUAUCACUAAGCACUUUGAGCAAGCAAGCCAUUAAGCAACACCUCACCCCUUUUAAUAGUAUUGGCUUUUCCUAUGGACUCAAUGUGAUCUUGGAUCACUAAAAGUAAAAUGUAGAGUCUUGGACUUUGAAGCUUGAGACAAUCUUUUGUCCUUAGCAUUUUGAGGGGUCCACAUUCCUUAUCCAUGCCAUGCCAAUCAUUGAACUUUCCUGAAAUAUUUAUCUUGUAAUGGCAUUAGUUCAAUGAGCUAUAUGUUGUUAAUCAUUACCAAAACCACCCAGGGAUAGUUGCACUUUCAAUCUCCCCCUUUUUGGUAAUUGAUGACAACAUAUAGAUCAAAGCUUCGACAAAUGAUCAUAAGAUUGAAAAGCAUCGUCGCUUUGGGAAGUAUGUGACAAACAAAAGCUCCCCCUAAAUUUGUGCAUUAUUUAAAAUUUGCUUUCGACUACAAAUGCACAAUGUGUUAGGAUCAUGGGUCACUUUUCCAUGUCACAUACAUCUUGGUGGAGCGCUCAAAAUGAUAAUAAUUAAAAACCAUGCACUCAUCACCAAGCAAAGUGAAUGAUCAUAUAUAAGGUAUAAAAGAUAGUAUCAUCCAAACAAGCAUUAAGGUAGCAAAUGAUCAAUCACAUGAUCAUCCAAGUAUCUCACAAAAGACAUAAUGUAGCAAGCAAACACACAAUAAAGUUCAAUCAAGUAAAAUGCAAAGAGAGACAAAACAACACUCUCUCUCUCGAAGUCUAUGAUCUAUACAUAUUUCUCCCCCUUUGGCAACAAGUACCAAAAUGUUAAAAAAUAUGCAUAGUGCUAUGCGUCUCUCAAGCUUGGUCUUCAUGAGGUGGUGUAGAGAUGACUCUAAGGACGAAAACUUCUGUUGAUGUAGCUGGAGCUGGUGGAGUGGCUGUUGGAGUAGAUGGCACUGAGGUUGUGGCUGCUGGUGCAGAUGUAGUAGCUCUUGUGUCUGGGACAUGCACUGCAGCAGACCUCUGGCUUCUGGGAACGCUAGUAAAAGCUUCUAUAGUAGACUUGCCCUUCUUCUCGUCCACUUCCUCCUGAAGUUGCUCAACCACUGACUGAAUCUCAUUUACCUUGACAUCAAGAUCAUAGAAUUUCUGCUCAAUGAUCCUCUCCAAGCUCUCCUGGUUUUGAGUCAGGGUGGCCAAGCCCUUCUCAAUCCUCAAGGUGGAUUGGAUCAGAUAUCCAAGCUGAUCUUGCUUGCUCUUCAAGAACACUUGAGAUGCCUCUUCAGCAGUUGGCAUCCUUGCAGCUUUCUCUGCCCUUGCCUUCUCUCUCUUCUCAUGUGCUUGCACUGAUGAUGGAUCUUCCUCAGUCAUGACAACAAUGUUGUCCUCAAAGUCUGGCCUGAGGGGUAAAUGCUCUUUGUCCAAUAGAUAUGUGCCUGUGCCCAUCUUGGAGUUGAUGAGCACCUGAAUUUGUGGAGCAUACCCACAAGAUCUCUUCUGAUCUGCAGCUGUCCUCUUGAUUUUUCGGCGUUCUGGGAACAGGGGUCCCCAGAAUUGCCUGCCUGCGGCCACGGCAUGGCUGUGCUAGCAGGCUUGUACGACCCAUCUUCAUCAACAAGGCAUCCAAGACCCUUGCGAGGAGCCAAGCCUCGCGAGGCGGACGACGCAAGUCCUCCUCGGGAGCAGCCUCACCAGGCUGCCUCACGAGGAGCGGAGAUAUCGAGGCGGAGCAAACCUCACGAGGCUCUCGUGACGUGAGCCUUGACGAUCGACACCAGGCGGGCGCCAGCACGCGCAGCGUCUUUGUUUCCUCUUUGGUGCUAAGGAGGCAAGCGCAGGCGAGGAGUAUCGAGGCAUCAGGCAAAGGUUGCCAUAUCGGUGCAACAAGACCAAGACCAGUAGGACGGAAAGACGGAGGUCACCGUGGAGCCCAAGACGGCAUCACCACCAGAGCCUUUUGCAGGCGAAGACCGCUUUUGUCAGGAUAGCUUGUACUAGCUGUCCCCUUUCAAAUUCGCCCGCCGUUGUUGGCUCCCUUCCCGCUCAAUAUUUGGGGAGAGGACCGGGGCCUAUAUAAGUAGAGUUAGCCACCACAGUAGAGGACGGAUCGAGUUCUCAUACACAAGUCCACAGAGCACAAGAACACCUCGACCUCAGGAGGCUGCUCUUCCCCUUGUACUGUUCUUCAUCAGCCCAAGAGGCAAUCCACCACCACACACUGGAGUAGGGUAUUACACCACAAUGGUGGCCUGAACCAGUAUAAAUCCUGUGUCUUUCUGUGUUGCGAAUUCGUCGAGUUCGUCCGCGAGAUCUUAGUGAGCUAGGGCGUAUAUCGGUAGGAGGGAAAGAACUUCGCGCGCACCCCAGAGUUCGAACCUUAAGGGUUUUGCCGGAACCCCACAUCCGACAUUUGGCGCGCCAGGUAGGGGUGCGCCGGAGCUUCUUCCUCGCCAAUCGACUUACCGACGCUCCACGACCAAGAUGUCCGGCGACCCAAGAGCUGACUCCGACCGCUGGGUAGCCUGGCCGGCCCGGGCGACGACGCCUGCCCAUGAAGACCUCGACCCCACGCUCCAGGCUGUGCGAGCGCCGUCCAAUGCUGCGGAGCACGGGUGGCGCGGCCAGGCGUCGUCCACCCUCACUCCACGACAAGUACGAGCUGCUGCAAGGGAAGCAAGCCACGCCGCGGCGACGACGCCGCACUCGCGGUGGGAGCAGGCAAACAUGCGGGCAGCACUCACAGUGGCAAGAGAGCUGCUACGGUGCCGGCUGAUGGAGAGAGGCCGGGAUGCGCUGCUGGAACGCGUUGCCAAGCUACUGGACGCGGCGGCGUCGGGAGCACCACCCUUCUGCUAUCGGCUCCCUUCUCAGGCCGUUGCGGGGCCUCAUGGCGGGACUCGCCGCAACCACGCGCCAUCAGGCAUGCCUGGGGGCUUCGUCAACACCAGCGUGGCCGACAUCACUGGGGGCUCCUCCGCCCCCAUGCCGCCCGCAAUAAGCACGGGCACAAGCGUCGCCCCCAUGGUCCCAGCAAGAUGCCACGCUACUGUCCUCAGGACACCACGCUGGGCCGAGCAACAUGGAGUGUGGGGCACUACGUCGAGGUGUUCGGGGUAACGGCCCCGGAAGCCUACGUACCCCGCAUGAUGGACCAAGAGUACGCACCGGAGGACGACCCCGACUCGUUCGUUGGAGAAGAUUGGGAAGAAGGGGCGCUAGGAGUCGAAGCCUUCCAGGAACCAAUGAAGAACCACGACGAUCGCGCCAUCAACGGCAACUACAGGGUACCACAAUCUCUCAGGAGCAGGCUUACGCUAACCAUGGGUUGCAAGUGAACCAGGUCGCAGCGUUGAUCGACGACCCUGGCACAGCAGCACCCCUUCCAACAAGGGAAGCACGCUGGGGGCCACCAGGAGGGAGCCAGGAGCAAGGCCCCUCCCUACGCCGCGCGAAGUCGGGCGACACCCGGAGGUAAGCCCUCUGCCGGGGAGGCCUCGACGACCCUUCCCUCGGCAGAGGACCCGUGGUCGCCGAGGGCACCGUUGGCGUCCUCUUUCCCCCCUUUGUGUCGUCCAGGUUGCCGGUCGACUCAAAGGUGGUCGAGGGUGGCGCAAGACGGGGCCCUCGUUUGGCGAUAUGAAGCAAGGCCGGUACCUAUGAAGAAGGCCCAGUGCCUGUGAAGCUCGCCGCCCGUGACACUCUCACGUAAUAAUGAGUUGGGGCUGUACACGCCCCGGAGUCUCAGGGGUGCCGGCCUCAGGCCCUGGGGCUCCCUCCCAUGCCUAGUGGCAGCACUUAGCUCCGCGUUGGUGAGAAGACUUGAAGACCAGAAGACUAGAAUAGGCGCCGGACGCGGCCUUUCGUUUUGGAUCUCUUUUUCUGUAGCCUUGCUUUCUGGAUCUGGAUUUAAGUUGAAGUUGAGUUUUUAUCGGUGCGCGCGCGCGCGGGGGGAGGGGGGGGUGCCUUUUCUCGUUCAAGCAAUUUCUUGCUUUCUGGAUUUCGUUCUGCUUGGGACUCAUGUCCGUCGCCUUCCCCUCACGAGCCCCUCGCGAGCGGGACUGCGCGAAGCGCACGCGUGCCGAGCGCGCGCUAACGCUGCAACUGGUGCUUGCCUCUUGCGGGGCCCCUCCUGACAGGACGACAAGCUCCGCAGGAUUCUCAGAAACUCGUCGCCUCAUGAACCAGCUCGAGGCUGGCACUGACUAAGGUAACUCACGACAGGAAACUCACCCUUGGACUUACAAGUUCGCGAGGGCACAUACUCAAUACCACGUAGAAAAGUAAAGGCUGCAACUUGCUUACAUGAGGGGCUCCCCCUCUCAAAGUGCUCUUACAAGUUUUCCAAGGGCCGUGCCCGAGUUUUGCGUGCAGGAUGCAGCGACAAGAGAACAUGGGAUCAACCAAAUAUGUCACUUGCUGCGUCGCCCUCGGACGCGUCACUUGCAUCAUCUUCAUCUUCGCCAGCACCGUCGUUGCCUUCGGCGACACCUUCAUCGCCGUUAUCAACCACAUCGCCUUCGUCUGCAACGACCACCACCGCCUCAUCAUCAGAAGCGAAGGCUCUGACCAGCGCAUCCACGUUGUCCUCCACCCACCGCGCCAGGUCACCCCCGACGGCCUGCGGCACGGGGGUAGUGGCGGCGUCAAAGUCGAAGUCAGGAAAGGUGUUCCUGAGGUGGCUAAAGAUGCGAGAGAACGCGCGCCCGAGCAGGCCCCAGCUUCUCUCUUCCACGAGCUGGCGAGCCCUGUCAGACCGGGCUUCCAGGCGUGUCACCACAUCGGUGAAGAAGGUCAGGUGGCUGGCGUAGUCAUUUGAGUGAGGAGGCGGUGCAUUCUCGUCGCAGAUGUAGCCCAGGGCGGUAUUAGCCCUGUUCCGGAGAUCCUGAAGCAUGGGGGCAUGCUCGCGCUCCAGCGUCCGUCGUUGGAGCACUUCCUCCCUGUUUUGUCGCGCGACGGCCUCGGCGUCAUCAACCCGUUUCCGAAGAGAAAGCAGCUCGGCGCGGGCGGAGGCCAAGUCCGCCUGCGCCGUGACUAGGGCGGCAGCCGUGGCCACCGCACGCCACUCCGCCUCGCCCAACCUGGGCCUGAGGGCAGCGGCCCUGCCCGCAUCCUCCGUUCCUGUGAGCUUCAACUUCAAGUCAUACCUACCCUCUAGGUCUGCGCGAACCUCGGCCACCCGGUGGUCGACUUCCUCUUGGACCUUGGCCUCGCGAGCCCCGACGACAUUUUCCGCCUGAGCAACUUGACGCUCCCUCGUCUCUAGUUGUUCGAGCUCAAGGCUGCGCUCCACGGCUUCCAGAGCCAGCGCUUCCUCACGCCUCCGGACCUCCUCUUCCUCAGCGGGCGUCCCCCUCAGCGACGCAAGGGCGGCUCUGCACGCAUCCACCUGCUGCUCGAGGGACACACUCCAGGCCUGCAGCUCCCACGCGCGUUUCUCCGCAGCCUCGCGACGGCGGUCGGCCUCGCGGGCCUCCUCCAAGGCUCGAGAGCAAGCUUCGCGGGAAACCUUGAGGGACGCCUCGGCCUUCGCAUUGUCGAGAUCACGCUGAUAGCGGCCAAGGUUGAUGGCCACCCUCAGCUUACGCCAUUCCUCCACCAGCCGCAGACCUUCAGCCUCAAGGCGCGAGUCGACGCCCGCAAGUCUUCACCGAGUCGGCUCAUCGCCUCUUGGAAGAGCUCAUGGCGAACGAUGCUUCGCCCGUGCUCAGGCCCGAACACACGACCCACCUCGUCCUCCACCUCGGGGGCCGCAGGCGGGACAUCAAGUAGCGCACCGCCUCUCGGCGGGGGGCUGGGGGCUGGUGUCGCAGCAGGCGCCGGCCCGACCUUGCGAGAAGCUCCGGCCAGACGCGACCCGCUACUUGAGGAGGAGCCUAAGGACAAAGUCAACCGUGGUUGUCCAUAACCAGAGGAGGAGAUCGGGGAACGCCCGCCAGGCUCCAAGCCAGACCGUGCAGGAAGGGCAGCGGAGCCACAGAUUCAAGGCUCCAUGAAGGCGAGUGAGGGAGUCCUGGAUUAGGGGGUCCUCGAACUGCCGGACUAUAUACUUUGGCCGGACUGUUGGACUAUGAAGAUACAAGAUUGAAGACUUCGUCUCGUGUCCGGAUGGGACUCUCCUUUGCGUGGAAGGCAAGCUUGGCAAUUCGGAUAUGUAGAUCUCCUCCCUUGUAACUGACUCUAUGUAACCCUAGCCCCCUCUGGUGUCUAUAUAAACCAGAGGGUUUAGUUCGUAGGACGAGAACAAUCAUAACCAUAGGCUAGCUUCUAGGGUUUAGCCUCUACGAUCUUGUGGUAGAUCAACUCUUGUAAUACUCAUAUCAUCAAGAUCAAUCAAGCAGGAAGUAGGGUAUUACCUCCAUCGAGAGGGCCCGAACCUGGGUAAACAUUGUGUCCCCCGCCUCCUGUUACCAUCCGCCUUAGACGCACAGUUUGGGACCCCCUACCCGAGAUCCGCCGGUUUUGACACCGACAUUGGUGCUCUCAUUGAGAGUUCCACCGUGCCAUCACCAUAAGGCUUGAUGGCUCCUUCGAUCAUCUACGACGAUGCGAUCCAGGGUGAGGUUUUUCUCCCCAGACAGAUCCUCGUAUUCGGCGGCUUCGUACUGCGGGCCAACUCGCUUGGCCAUCUAGAGCAGAUCGAGAGCUAUGCCCCUGGCCGUCAGGUCAGGUUUGGAAACUUAAACUAUACUGCCGACAUCGGCAGAGACUUGAUCUUCGACGGAUUCGAGCCUAUGUCAGGUGCGCCGCACAGUCACAACGAGCAUGACUUAACUCUGUCGUCGGACGGUGUUCGGGAGAUCACACCUAUGGCUAUUCCGGCCCUCAAUCCGGAGCAGAUGGUGCCGUCCGAGGACGGGUGGAUGGACCCCGCCACGGAGGCCGCACACUCAGCGGUGAUAGAGGCGAAUACUGACUUCACCUCCUACGAGACCUGUGUUGCCGGAUACUCGGAUUCGUCCCCGGCCACGGGCUCCGAACCGCCUGCGUCCGUGCCUAUCGAAUCUGAUUGGGCACCGAUCAUGGAGUUUUCCUCCGCGGAUAUCUUUCAGCACUCGCCACUGGGCAACGUGUUAAAUUCAUUAAGGUCUCUCUCCUUGUCUGGAGACCCUUGGCCGAACUAUGUCCGGCUUGAGUGGGAGGCGGACGACGAACAAUUUCGUUCCCCACCCACCACCCACUUGGUAGCCACUGUCGACGACUUAACCGACAUGCUCGAUUUCGGCUCCGAAGACAUCGACGGUAUGGACGACGAUGCAGGAGAAGAACAGGAACCGCCGCCCACAGGGCGCUGGACUGCCACCUCAUCAUACGAUAUAUACAUGGUGGACACCCCCAAAGAAAACAACAACGAGGAACGGGAAGAAGCAGCAAAGGACAGUUCCCUCGAGAAGCAACCAAAGCAACGGCGUAGGUGCCUCUCCAAACCCCGCCUCAGCAAAAACAGCGGUAACAUCGCAAGAAAGAAUAAUACCCCAGACGACUCCAGAGGAAACGACGACCACAUGGACCCAGCGAAAGAGCAGGAUGAACCAGCGGACGGCGAACACAGUACGGAGCCGCUGUCCGACAACGGUGACGCCGAGGGUAAAGCUAAUCAACCUGUCUCUGGAGAGGAGAACAGUCCGGACGACGAUGCACACAUCAUCCCAGAAAGGCACUUGGAGCAAGAGAACCUCCAUAGAAGGCUUCUUGCCACCGCGAGGAGUCUAAAGAAGCAGAAGCAAAGGCUCAAGGCCACGCAAAAUACACUCAACAGUAGAUGGAACAAAGUGCUCGACACUGCAGAAAAGUACGGUGACAGUCGCCACACAAAGAGCUAUCCAAAGCACAAGCUGCUGCCUGAAUUCGAUGACGAGGCUUUAGAGCCCAUACAGCCGAAAAAUGAAAUGGCCGAUCAGCCGGAUCGACCACCCCGUGGCCGCGAUAGGGCGGCUAACGAUGUCGGUAUGACCAGGUCCAUCUACGGAUCUAGGAAGCGUGCUCCGGCACAGAAUCAAAACCGAACACUACAACCGUCAGAACGUCAUGACACAUCCAAGUACAGGGGUGCCGCGCACCCCCUAUGCUUCACCGAUGAGGUGCUGGAUCACGAAUUUCCAAAGGGAUUCAAACCCGUGAACAUAGAGGCGUACGACGGAAUGACAAACCCUGGGGUCUGGAUCAAGGACUUUAUCCUUCAUAUCCAUAUGGCUCGUGGAGAUGAUCUCCACGCCAUCAAAUACUUGCCCCUCAAGUUGAAAGGACCAGCUCGGCAUUGGCUGAAGAGCCUCCCCGAAAACUCAACUGGAAGUUGGGAAGAGCUUGAGGAUGCUUUUCGGGCUAAUUUUCAAGGGACCUAUGUCCGGCCUCCGGAUGCAGACGAUUUAAGUCAUAUAAUUCAAUAGCCCGGAGAGUCAGCCCGAAAGCUUUGGAACAGAUUCCUCACUAAGAAGAAUCAAAUUGUCGACUGCCUGGACGUCGAAGCCUUAGCGGCUUUCAAACACAGUGUUCGGGACGAAUGGCUGGCCAGACACCUCGGCCAGGAAAAACCGAGGACAAUGGCAGCCUUGACAAGCCUUAUGACCCGCUUUUGCGCGGGCGAAGAUAGUUGGCUGGCCCGUAGCGGCACCAGCGACCCAGGCACAUCCGAAGUCAGGGAUGGUAAUGGGAAACCGCGACGCCAUAAAAGCAAGCGUCGAAGCAAUGAAGACAACCCAGACAACAUGGCGGUAAACGCUGGAUUCAGGGGCUCUCAACCCGGUCAACGGAAAAAGCCAUUUAAAGGCAGCCGAGAUGGACCGUCCAGCCUAAACAAGAUUCUAGACAGAUUAUGUCAGAUUCAUGGCACCUCCGACAAACCUGCAAAUCACACCAACAGAGAAUGCUGGGUCUUCAAGCAAGCCGGCAAGCUAAACGCCGAGCACAAGGGGAGGGAGACACCAAGUGAAGACGAGGAUGAGCCUCGUCAGCAAAACACUGGGGGACAGAAAAAUUCCCACUAGAGGUCAAAACAGUGAACAUGAUUCACAUAACGAAGAGGAGGAGCAAACGCGCAUUCCGAGACGUAUGCGCCGUGGAGCCCGUCACCCCCAAGUUCAACCCUUGGUCGGCCUACCCGAUCACUUUCGAUUGUAGGGAUCACCCGACUAGUAUCCGGCAUGGAGGAUCUGCUGCCUUGGUGCUAGACCCAAUAAUUAACGGAUACCAUCUCACCCGAGUCCUUAUGGACGGCAGCAGUAGUCUCAAUCUGAUAUAUCAGGACAUAGUCCGCAAAAUGGGGAUAUACCCGACUAGAAUUAACCAAAGCAAUACUACCUUUAAAGGAGUAAUACCAGGCCCAGAGGCCCGCUGCACGGGCUCUCUAGUACUAGAGGUUGAAUUCGGUUCUCCCGACAACUUCCGAAGUGAAAAGUUAACCUUCGACAUCGCUCCAUUCCGAAGCAGCUAUCAAGCACUACUGGGAAGAAUGGCCUUCGCUCGUUUUAACGCAGUACCGCAUUAUGCUUAUCUUAAGCUUAAGAUGCCCGGUCCACGUGGCACCAUCAUAGUCAGCGGAAACGCAGAGCGUUCCUUGCGUACGGAAGAAUGUGUGGCGGCUUUAGCAGCCGAACACUGACUGGCCUCUCCAACCAGAAUAAAUGAUCUGUCGUCAAGACCGAGGACACGGCUAGACGAGUCCGAUGCAACACUGGCUGUAACAGCUCAGAUAAACCUGAGAUUGGGUUGAUGGAUAUAUCCCCAUAAGUGGCGCUAGGGGCUUCCCACAUGUAAAAAGAACUACAGUUCGGGUUGACCUUAUUUAGAUUGAAUUUUAAUGGUUUAUUAAGAAUAACCAAUUUUUUGCACGAAUACUUUCACCUGAGUUUUUCUCUUUUACAGAUGAUAAUCAUGCUACACCCUUCCAGGAUACGGCACAACGGAGACACAGGCGCAGACGUGCAGCAGGGCCCCACUCAAAGGUUUCUUUUUAGAUUAAGACCCUGUGUAAACCUUUCUUACUGUCUCUUCUUGCUUCACACCCUCCGGAUACUAAACACAACCGAGAGGGAUGCUGGCGUUAUUGGCAUUUCGCCACGUCAGACUAAUGCACGUACCUGGAAAUUCAGGGUUCAUUAUCAAGGGCGUUACUCAGUCCGGUAUAUGUUGUAAAGACCGAAUACCUUAGGGAGUGUUCGACGUCGCGAGUUUGGCCUUAUAUGCAUCAGCUCCGAAUCAUGUCUUUGGUCAAUAGUUGGGUUUGCCCGGCUCCUGUGUUUUGCUACCAUAUGUUCCGCUCUAUCGGCUAAGGUGGCACCGGGAGAACUACUGCGAUUGUGCCCUGGUUCAUCUGGACGAGCACCUCAGUAGAGAAAGCCGAAAACUGACUGGCAUGAUAAAGCGCGAGACUGGUCAACCACUCGAUGACUCAUCGGAAUCUUCGCGAUUCCUCCGCAUUAACGAAGGACCGGUUUCCCGGUCAUGUAUGUACGCGCACCGUAUUCGGCUAGACGCGGAAGUACCAGGGGCUAUAUAGUAGCCCCACCGUCAAACUCCUAUGGCUAAGUGAAAGUGUUAAAGCAAUAUAGUCCGAUUGCCUUGUUCGCCGCGCUAUCACCUCCUUAAUGGACCAAGCAUUGGAUCAAGUGUGAAUACGCGCUUUUCCGAACACCCCCGCAUUAUAUGUGUGGGGGCUGAAGCCGACGACUGCAAACUUUCAGGUUAUAUACAUACAUAAACGGCCGCACAGGAGGCAUCAUAAUACUUUCAGGCAAAAGUAUAAACACAACCUUUAUAAUCCUAAUAGCAUUGUUUUUACAAUCGGGUUACAUGUCACUAUAACAUGACACUCUUCGAGCACUGAGCCUCUAUUAAAUGAGCGCCUUCUAGGACUUCUUCAAAAUAGUGCUCGGUCGAUACCUGGCCUACGGCCGAACUCUGGGUCGCAAUAGCGGUGGCCUCCAUCUCUGCCCAGUAUGUCUUAACACGGGCAAGAGCCAUCCGCGCACCCUCUAUGCAUGCCAACCUCUUUGCAGCGUCGAUAUGCGGCACAGCACCAAGGAAUCGUUGCACUAAACCAAAAUAACUAUUCGGCCUUGGUCCUUCCGGCCAAAGAUGAUCCACGACAGACCUCAUGGCAAGCCCGGACAACCUAUGGAGCUCAGCCCACUCGGCCAUUUGCUCAUUUAACAACAGCGGACGCGUUGGAGCACUGAACUGCGACCAGAACAACUUUUCCACUUCAUGAUCUUUUUGAUCUUUGAAAAACUCAGUCGCAUCAGCAGCACUCGCUGCCAAGUCCAAGUACGCGUAUGCAGCACUCCAUAAUUGAUCCAGAGGGGCAUACUUCGGAUCUCCAAACUUCGUCCACAACAAAAGGGCUUCCCAGCCGUGAUAUCUCCAGCUUGACGAAGCUCCUCCUUCGCCGCUCUGAUUUUAGAGCGGGUCUGCUUGGCUGCUACUAUGGCUUUCUUCAGGUCUGCCGCUUUCGCUUGGCUUUCCUUUUCAAGAAGCUCAUACCGGUCGGCGGCAUCCUUCUGCUCAACAGCCAUCUUGGCUAUUUUAUCUUCGCUCUGGCAAUGAACAGCCUGUUCGACUCUUAAUUCUUCGACCGCCUUUAGGGCGGCCGCAUCACUUCUCCUGGCUUGUUCCUUGGCUCGGGCAAGCUCCGCCCGAAGGGUCUCCACGGCGGCAGCUCCAUCUGCAGUCACAACAUAUUAUAGAUACUAGCAUCAUGCUCCUCUUAAAUAUCUGUUAACCACCGGAGAAUACAUACCCUGUGCCUCGUCAAGCCGCUUGUUUACAAGCACGAUGUCGGCAUCUGCCGCAUCAAGUUGCCGCUUCAGUUCAGCAAACUCACCAGUCCGGCUAGCCACCGGACCCUCAGCCGCCUGCACAUGAAAACAACAUGAUCAUCACCUGGGACUAUGAUCCUCUGUUUGCCGCCUUUAGGACGGCAACCAGAGUCUCAGGGGCAACUAUCUGUAUAGGGCACACCUAGCGUGUGCGGUACCGUCAAAAUAUAUAUUACUUUGCGUACCUCAAAGCCUUUUAGCAGGCUCAUAAAAGCUUCAUGCAACCCACUUUUGGCGGAUGAAAUCCUCUCAACCACCGUACCCAUUAAAGUACAAUGCGCCUCUGAGAUAGCCGCUUGCUCCAGAAGACCCAUCAGUACGUCCGGUUGUGCACCGGACAGUACCGGACUCUUUCUGUUGCUCUCCUUAGGAGCCGAAUCCUCUGGACUUCGGGUGGCCGAAGGGUUACCUUCCGGCCUUGGCGGAUUAGGAGAAAUCCUCCAUGACGACACCUCAGGGUCGUCCGCCUCAGGAGGCAGGGAGACAGGGGGAGGCAUUUCGCUCUCCAUCAUCUCCGGAAGAAGAUCCCCCGAAGACGAACUCUGUCGAGAAGGGCUACGAUCCGAACUGCAAGACAUACGGCUCGGUUAUUGUCCUCGAAGAUGAAGCAGGAUAUAUUUACCAAAAGUACUCUUGUUCACUUACAGCUCGGUGGAGGGCUGAUCCCCUUGCGGGCACUGUGCGGUAAGGAUGCCCUCCAGGGCAGGGCCCUCUGGUGAAGGUUUCUUCCCUCGUUUGGAAACUCUUGUUUCCAAUUCUUCAGAGGCGGUCCUUUUCCUUCCUUGGGGAGAGGGAAUUUCAAAUUCUUCUCCCCGGUUAUCCUCCUUCGCGGAGACACUAAUUCCCCCGGUUUGGAUGAGUAAUGAGUGAGGCCCGCUUUCGGCUUCUUUAUUCCUCCCUUUACCUUCCCCUGAUGGCGCUUGAUAAGGUGCGAGCUCAAGCAUCCUGGCUAGUACAGGAUCCGGUGAGCCCUCGGGAAGGGGGGCCGAACACCUGAUCAUCUUCGCCUUUUUUAUCCAGUCCUGGUCAAAGAGUGAUUUUUCAGAAUGAUGUUGUCACAAAUUAAAAGAAAGCGUGUUCGGCCGCAGAAUUACUUACGUGGGUAUCUGGACAAUUGCAGUUUAGACCCGCAUCCUCGGUGGUGUCCGGACACUUUAUUCGUGAUCCGAAGAACAAUCCAUACAUCUCUUCGAGCGUCAUGCCGAAAAAUUGCUGAAUAGUUCGCGGUCCUUCCGGGUUGAACUCCCACAUACGGAGAGGUCGACAUUGGCAUGGCAGGACCCGAUGAACUAGCUUGACUUGCAUUACCUUGACAAGGCCGACAUCUCUCCCGAGGAGAUCUCGGAUGCGACUCUGCAAUGUCGGCACGUCAUUAAUUGGCCCCCAGUCCAGCCCCUUGUUGACCCAUGACGCCAGUUGUGGCGGGGGGCCCGAACGGAAGGCGGGGGCAGCUGCCCACUUAGUACUUCGGGGAGCCGUGAUGUAAAACCACUCCCGCUGCCAUAAGUUGGACAUCUCCGGGAAGAAACCCUUUGGCCAUGGAGCAUCGGCGCCUUUGCUUAUUAUGGCACCUCCGCAUUCUGCGUGUCGCCCAUUGAUCAUCUUCGGCUUCACAUUGAAGGUCUUGAGCCAUAAGCUGGAGUGUGGGGUGAUGCGGAGGAAGGCCUCACACACGACGAUGAACGACGAGACGUGAAGGAUGGAAUCCGGAGCGAGAUCAUGGAAAUCGAGCCCGUAAUAGAACAUAAGCGCUCUAACAAAGGGAUAAAGACUAAAACCUAGCCCUCGGAGGAAGUGGGAAACAAAUACGACGCUCUCGUUGGGUUCGGGAGUAGGGAUGACCUGCCCUGGAGCAGGCAGCCUGUGCGAGAUUUCGGCGGUCAGAUACCUGGCUUCUCUUAGCUUCUCGAUGUCCUCCUCUGUGACAGAGGAGGCUGUCCACCAGCCUUGAAGGUUGGAUCCGGACAUGAUUGAAGGUCCGAAGCACUUAGCCGGAGCCUCGGGUGUUGGAAUUCAAGGUGGGGGAAGGGAAGGAUCGAGCGCGAGAAGAAAAGGACAGGCCUUGGCCCCUUUAUAAAGAGGGUGAAUAUCAAGCGUCCUCCGCGUGACCGUUUGGAACUUGCCUAAAAUCGAGAAGUCAUAACCACGGGCAUGAUUGGGUUACCCACACCCGUAUUGAUGAGAAUCCCGUGAUAAAAGGAACACUAUCUCUGCUUCGACAAGACGUGCCAAUAAAACCGCCUCGCAACACGUGCAGUGGCAGGCUGGGAAGAACGGUUCGUCAUGACCAGACCACGGCAGAACGUCACGCUAUGAAAAGUUGUCAGCAGACUAGAUUUGUGGGAAUAUUAUAAUCUCUACGGUGGUAUGUGGAAUUUGUUUUGCAGAGCCGGACACGAUCCUAGUGUUCAAAAUCUUCUAUGGAGUAUUCGGAGGAGGAACCCGCCUUGCAAUGCCGAAGACAAUCUGCGCGCCGGACUCAUCGUCAUUGAAGCCUAGUUCAGGGGCUACUGAGGGAGUCCUGGAUUAGGGGGUCCUCGGACUGCCGGACUAUAUAGUUUGGCCGGACUGUUGGACUAUGAAGAUACAAGAUUGAAGACUUCAUCCCGUGUCCGGAUGGGACUCUCCUUUGCGUGGAAGGCAAGCUUGGCAAUUCGGAUAUGUAGAUCUCCUCCCUUGUAACCGACUCUAUGUAACCCUAGCCCCCUCUGGUGUCUAUAUAAACUGGAGGGUUUAGUCCGUAGGACGAGAACAAUCAUAACCAUAGGCUAGCUUCUAGGGUUUAGCCUCUACGAUCUCGUGGUAGAUCAACUCUUGUAAUACUCAUAUCAUCAAGAUCAAUCAAGCAGGAAAUAGGGUAUUACCUCCAUCGAGAGGGCCUGAACCUGGGUAAACAUUGUGUCCCCCGCCUCCUGUUACCAUCCGCCUUAGACGCACAGUUCAGGACCCCCUACCCGAGAUCCGCGGGUUUUGACACCGACAGCGAGCGCACCCCCUUUGCCGACCCAGUUUCGGGCGCGGCGUACAGGCUCGGGGUGUACAAGGCCAACGGGGGUGCCGCGGAAGGCGAGGAUUGCUUCACAAGGGACCCAAUGGCCCUGGCAGAAGGGGUCCUGAAGAACUAACAUCAGGAAGGAAAUCAGCAAUCAAGAAAUCACAAGGUGCAGUACUUACUCGUCAAUAGCAAAGUACUUUCGCCGCUUCAACGGCCCGAAGAUGCUGUUGCUGCUCGAGGAUCCUUUCCUCUUGCGGAGCUCCUCGAAGUCCCGCAAAGCCGACCGAAGCGCUGGACAUGACGGCCGGUGCGAGGCGGGGCCGAAGAAGAGCUUGGAGAGACAACUUCAGGGGUGCUUGGCUGCGGCGAACAGUCGGGCGACGUCUCGCUAUGACCUCCCGAGGCUUCGGGGGACUUUGACCUCGGGAACCGCAUGCUGCGUCGCCUCAGUAACCGAUGCCCCAUCGCGAGCUCCCGAGGACGACGCCCCCAGAUCACCGCGCGACAUGUGCUCUUCAGCGCUUGGGCCGCCGGCCUCCAUAGGAGCUCGCCCUCCUGCACCCUCACUUGGGGCGAGCUCGACACAGGCGGCGAGGAAGGGGACCACGUCGACGGGGUUCUUGCGAGGCCCCACCAGGCCGAUAGGGCGCAGGCCCAACUCAUCAAAGGAGGGCAUGCUCGCGGCAAACUCAUCAUUGUUCUCGCAACGAUACAGUAGACAACUCCUCCUGGACAUGUCAUCCGGCAGAGGGGCACCCGUCAGGACCAUAAGCACUGUCUCCCGUGUCUUAAGAGGAAGCCCUUCCUCUUGAAACCGCAUGUGGUCCUGACUGCUGAGCAAGGCCCACAUCGGGCGGGAAUGGCGCUGAAGCGGAGCGACUCGACGCUGGACGAACUCCUUCACCACCAUAGGCGCAGUCACACUGCGGUCCUUCAACCUCCUCAGCCUGGCCCAGAUGGGAGCAAGGCGGGGGCUCGUGAGCUUCUGAUGGCCCCAACCGGAGUUUGGAACAGCAGGCCCCGUCGGGGCAAGGAGCAGAGGCUGAGCACACCAGCGUCAACGAACACCCAUAGUGUUCGGAACUCGCUCGCGGAUGGAGGGAGCUCAAAGUCAAUCCCCGCACCUGCCGUCGCGGCCACAGCCUGGAAGCUCACGCACCCCGAGCUCUAACGAGGGUCAGUCAUAUGCAAUGAGAAGAAAUGGCGGAAGAAGGCCACCGAAGGAGCGAUACCCACCAUGGCUUCGCACACAAAGGCGAAGACAGCAAGAAGAGUCACCGAUUAAGGGUCAAGAUGCAGCAUGUGGAUAUGAUAAUGCACGAGCACCGCGUUAAAGAAGGCGGAGAAGGGAGGAAUCAGGCCAGCCCAGAGGGCAUCUAUGAAGAUUGGGACUUCAGUGGCUGCCCGAGCCAUGCGAGUGCGAGACGCGGGCCAAGCCACCGUCUCUCCCCACUCGUUGAAGCUGGAAGCAAGCAUUGGACGCACCUUGUCCAUGGCCUCGUCGUUGAGCACCCGGGAUCGGCCCAGCGCCGGCUCAGCGGCCGGAGGCGCGCUUGGCGGAGACAUGGGCUUCUUCCCCUUGUCUGCUUGUUUCGGCGCCAUGACAGCGAAGCGGGCAGAGGGCAGGUCAGAUUGGAGAAGAGAAACAGAGUCUCGAGGAAGCAGAGAGAUUGGGGAAGCAAGGCGCAGACGACGGAGGAAUAACUAUAUAGGUCGCGGGGCCGCGUAGCCAGGCGGAUUCUAGGGCAGCGUGGGGAAGCGGAGACGCCCACGUCCAAUCAACCGCCACGCGUCAACCGAGGCCACAUUCUUUUUGGGGCCCGCAGCGCUCCAUACUUGACCCUUGGCUUCGCCGCGAAGCCAAGCCCGAGCGCACCUUGGGCCCGGGGGCUACUGUCGGCGUUCUAGGAACGGGGCUCCGCAGACUUGCCUGCCUGCGGCCCACGGCAUGGCUGUGCUAGCAGGCCUGUACAGCCCAUCUUCAUCAACAAGGCAUCCAAGACCCUCGCGAGGAGCCAAGCCUCACGAGGCGGACGACGCAAGACCUCCUCGGGAGCAGCCUCACCAGGCUGCCUCGCGAGGAGCGGAGAUAUCAAGGCGGAGCAAACCUCACGAGGCUCUCGUGACGUGAGCCAUGACGAUCGACACCAGGCGGGCGCCAGCACGCGCAGCGCCCUUGUUUCCUCUUUGGUGCUAAGGAGGCAAGCGCAGGCGAGGAGUACCGAGGAAUCAGGCAAAGGUUGCCAUAUCGGUGCAACAAGACCAAGACCAGCAGGAUGGCAAGACGGAGGUCACCGUGGAGCCCAAGACGGCGGCACCACCAGAGCCUUUUGCAGGCGAAGACCGCUUUUGUCAGGAUAUCUUGUACUAGCUGUCCCCUUUCAAAUUCGCCCACCGUUGUUGGUUCCCUUCCCGCUCAAUAUUUGGGGAGAUGACCAGGGCCUAUAUAAGUAGAGUUAGCCACCACAGUAGAGGACGGAUCGAGUUCUCAUACACAAGUCCACAGAGCACAAGAACACCUCGACCUCAGGAGGCUGCACUUCCCCUUGUACUGUUCUUCAUCAGCCCAAGAGGCAAUCCACCACCACACACUGGAGUAGGGUAUUACACCACAAUGGUGGCCUGAACCAGUAUAAAUCCCGUGUCUUUCUGUGUUGCGAAUUCAUCGAGUUCGUCCAUGAGAUCUUAGUGAGCUAGGGCAUAGAUCGGUAGGAGGGAAAGAACUUCGCGCGCACCCCAGAGUUCGAACCUUAAGGGUUUUGCCGGAACCCCACAUCCGACAUGAUUGUUUCCACAAUCAGACUCAUCACUUUGAACUUUUGAGGAACAUCAAAUAUAUGCAGCAAGUUGAUGGAGUGUCCUCUGAUCAUUCUGUGACCACCUGACUUUGGCAAUAGAGUGUGCCUCAGAAUGGUAUUGAUUGUAGGCAGGCCUAACAGUAAGUACUUCACAGAGCCAAACUUGUGAGUCUCCAGGUCUGCAUCAGGAAUCUCCUUGUACAUGCUGGCCAUUGAGUUGUGAUCCUUCUUCUUCUUGGCAUAGACAUCCAAGUCAUCUUCAUGAGCUUCUGGAGCAUUGAUCAAUCUAGCCCACCCAUCAACUGUAGACUGGUACUUUGUACCCUCUGACAUCCAUACGAUUCUGCCAUCUGGAUAGAAAUGAGCAGUAGAAUAGAAUUGCAUGAUCAGCUCAUCAUUCCACUUGGUGAGCUUUUGGCCAACAAACUUGUCAACCUCACAUGCCUUGAAGCUGUCAUAAACACCUGGAAUGUGAUCUUCAUUCUCUCUUAUGUAGGUCCAGUCCACCCAUCUAAUGUCACACACUAUGGGCUUCUUGUCAAGCAGGAUAGUCUCAUAGCAAUCUUGUUGUUCCUUUGUGUGGAACCUAUAAUCCACAGCAGUUCUCCUCCUGACAGCAUAUGGGUCAGCCUUUCUCCACUGUCUCAUUCCCGCAUCCUUCCUGAUCCUCAUAUCUUCUGCAACAGGAUGUGCAUCAUUGUGGUCAGGGAUCUUUGGCUUUAGCUUCCUUAGCACUUGGGCUUCAGCUUCCUCUUCUCCAGUCUCAGGCACUGGGGCCUUGUUCUUUUCCUCAGCAGGUAUGUUCCUGGUACUCCUCUUGGGUGCAGUCUUGGGAACUGGAGCAGCAGCUUUGGGAGCAGUUUUGGGCUUAGCAGCAGCCCCUGACUUUAUAGCAUCUCCCAUGAGCUUCUAUGCCUUAGGUGCUGGAGCAGCAUCCUCUUCCUCUUCAUCAUCUGAUCUCACCAUUGAGGACUUUCCAAGACUUUAGCUGUUGUAGUUCUUGCCCUCUUCUUCUUGUCCUCACCAGCUGCUUCUUCUUCAGAUUCAAUGGUGAACUUCAUAGUUUCACCUGUGGCGACUUUCCUUGGCUUUGACAUUGGCAUCCUCCUUGCAGGUGCCUUCUUGUUCAGCCCUGGCUUACUUGCAGCAGUUAUGCCAUACUCCUUCUUCAGCACCUUCUUUUUGGAGCUUACUUCCUCUUCAGUGGCCACAUAGGUCUCAUCCUCAGAUUCUGAGGUUCUCUUCUUCCUAGAUCUGGUGGCUGCCUUUGGCAAGUUGCUUCAAGUGCUCCUGCUGCCAUCAUCAGAAGUGCUAGAGGGAUCUGAACCCUCGCUCAUCUGCACAUGUUCCUCAGACCGGUUCUGAUUGUCACUCUGAUUAGACAUCUCUGCAAACUUACUGACAACAGACCCUGUGAAUAGAUAUAGAUGAGGUAGAGUAGAUGAGCAUCACAAAGUACAGAGGUUUUGCAAAACAAAUUGAGUCAAAAAUCUUAGUUUUAGUUCUCUACAGAAGUGAUCUCGGAGCUACCGAAUUGACAAACUCGGUGAUACCAAAGCAACACUUGGAACCUAAACCAGUGAACUUGGUUGGGCCGAGUCAUAGUUCGGUGGCACCGAGAUUGCUAGGGUUUCACAGAAUCUUGAACUCGGUCACACCGAUUUGCACGUUUUGGUUGGACCGAAAAGCGCAUGUGCAAUGGCCUAAGCCGAAUCGGUGAGACCGAUUUCUACAUUUCGGUCGGUCCGAGAUGAGUUCUGCGGAGAGCUAACCGUAAAAUUUUCGAAUCAAUCUAGACCUAAGGAAGUUUUAGCUGGAUAGAUUAAUCAAAUUCGUGGCAAGAAACAUGGCAUUGUCCUUGUGCUAGGAAUUGGAGUGAAAAAGACAACACAAGGGGUCGAACACUUACCCUAGAGCGGUGAGUGUUCGCUACGGCAGUGACGGCGGAGCAGAUUCCGUCGACGACGGCAGAGUCCAAUGGCGGGAGGUCGUUGGCGGCGAGGAGACGAUCCGGAGACCCGAGGAGGCAGAGCAGGACACGCGCGGGCUGAGAGAAUUUGAAGAAAUUUCCAAAGUCUCACCCGUGGGUAUUUAUAUCUCGACCCUGUCAGUGUGACCGAGUGGAACAAUUCGGUGGCAGCUAGAUUGCAGAAUCGCAAGUGGUUGGUGCAACUCGGUGUGACCGAAGUGUUCAAAUCAGUUGCACCGAGAUGAAAACUUAGAUCAACUUAGUGAACUCGGUUUGACCGAAAUGGAUUUCUCGGUCAGACCGAAAUGCACAAAGAGGUUUUGGAAGUUUAAGUCUAUGACGAAUCAGGGAACUCCGAGUGCUCCUCACACAGAGUGGUUCGAAUCUGACUUGAUCAAACUUUGUGAUGUAGCAUGAAUAGAGUUUGAGACGAGAAAAGCAUAGAUAGCUAGAGAAGGUUCUUAGGCAUUCUUGUCCAUCCACUUGGCAAAAUAAAAAAAGAUCCAAACAAUCAAAGUAACAAGUGGAUGUCCUCGAAUGAGUAAAAUAUGCAACCAACAUGCUCACACAAUAAAAUGACAAAUGAAAUAUGUGGCAAAGCAUGCACAACCAAUUCUAGCAUCUAUCAAACAAUUGGUGAUGACUAGGUCAUCUAUAUAUGAGUAUAUUGACUUAGGAGUCAAAUGAGAACAUUUGAUCAUAGGUCAUACUCAUCGUUUAAGCACAAGUGGGGUUACCACUUUUACAUAGAGCAUUGAUGUGUUCACACCAUUAGAGUUGCUUUAGCUCAAUUUUUAGAGUAAAGCUCCCCCUAGAUGUGAGAUCCCCCCUAAGAGGGAUGAACUAACCUUGGGUUUUGUCGAUAAUGACUUCAUGUAGGUGUUGGAGAUGUAGAUGCUCAAUGUUGAUGUAGAUCAUUUGGAGAAAUCCUUUGGAGUGAGUUGCACUUUCAAUACCUACAUGGGUUAGUCCCACAAGGAAAAAACAAGGAUAUCCAUAGACAUAGAGUGAUGUUCACAUGAGAUGAUGUCCAUGAAUGCAUUAGGUUACCUUGUCCCUUGUCUUACCAACAAGAGGGUUUGUGACUCCUUGAACUAGUGCAAGAUGUGGAAGUUGAUUGCACUUGUCCUUGCCAAAAUGAUAUGAGUGAAGUAUAUUGGCGGAGUCACCCUCAAGAACUCUCUAGUUCUUAUUCUUUGGGAUCCACAUCAUCUUGAUGGGAAUCCUUGGGAUAGUAGUGGAACUUGAUGAAGUAGAGCUUGAUGUAGUCUUGGGAACCCACUUGACCAAGGCCUUAGGAGCUUCUUCAAAUGCAUCAAUCUCCUCUUGAAGCUUGUCCUUGCCUUUUAGCUUGUGGUCUUGUGGUGAAAGAUCAUCUUGAGCUUGUGUUCCUUGGAAAGAAGUAGGAUCAUACUUCUCUUGUUGAGGAACAAACUUCGUCUUGGGAUAUUGAUCUUCUUCCCACUUAACUCCAUUGGCAUUGAACUUUCGUUCAAAACCAACACCUUGAUUCUUCCGGUGUCUUCCUUGCUUGCGUACAAUUUCCUCAAAUUGCUUACUUCCGGCAAGACUCUUGUAAACACCUUUCUCUAUAAUUCCCUUCAAUAAGCUAUUUUCUUGCUCAAGUGUAACUUGGCUAAGAGAAUCAUUAGUGGAAUCAAGAGAACUACUAGAAGCAACAACAUUGGAUUUAGCAUGAUUGUUGUUACUACUAGAGGAAUAAUCUUUCUUGUUCUUGUUGCUAGAUUUAAAUUGUGGCAUGUAAGUAGAUAAGAGUAAACGCUUGGCAAUGUAAGAAGAACUUUUCUUGCGAAGAUCAUCAUUGAUUGCUUUUAAGAACUCAUGCUCUUGCUCAAGGUUGAGCUUUUCAAAGCGUAGCUUCUCAUGAGUCUUUAAAAGUUCUCGAUGACCUUCCAAGGUAGUUUCAUGAGCUAACUUAAGAGUGUUUAGUUCUUUAGUUAGACGCUCAAUAUUCUCCUUAUCAUUGUCACUCGUUUUAUCUUGAUUAGUAUGAUUAAUUGACAUUUCAUCAUAGUAUUCAUCACUAGAGUUGUCAACAAGUAAAUCAUCUUCACCUAACAAGUCAUCUUCAUCAUUAUUGAAAUCAACAUACUCGGGAUGUGAUACCUUUGGACCUUUGGCCAUGAAGCAUCUUCCAAUUCCUUCAUUUGGUGAGUCAAAUAUGUCGUAGGAGUUGGUUGACACAAGUGCUAGACCGGCAACACCUUCAUCUUGAGUAUAUUCGGAGUCGGAGUGAUAACUUUUUUCGGAGUGAUGGUCGGAGUCGGAGCCGGAUACCCAUUCACCAACAUGAGCUUGAUGUCUUUGUUUUGUGUAUCUCUUUGAUGAUUUGUCCUUCCUCUCCGAAUCCUUGCUUCUCCGAGAGGGUCUUCAUUCAUAACGAUCGUCUCUACUCCUUCUCUCUCUUGGUGGUGAUUCAUCUCUUCUACUUCUUCUUUUGGGAGAAUCUUCUCUUCUUUUGUAGGGAGCCGUACACUCAUUGGAGUAGUGUCCGGGUCUUCCACAAUUAUAGCAAUUUCGUUCACGACUAGAAGAUCUUUUGUCAUUGUAGGACCUUGACUUGGAACUUAUUUCCUUGCUUCUACUCUUGUAGAACUUGUUGAAGUUCUUCACCAUUAGGCUCAAUUCUUCAUUGAAGGUUUGUUUCUCACUUGAUGAUGUGGGAGCAUCACAUGAGGCUUUGUAAGCACCGCUUGACUUGUUGUGAAGCUCUUCCUUAUCCUUGAGAGACAUCUCAUGAGCAACAAUUCUUCCAAUGACUUCCCUUGGCUUGAGAUCUUUGUAGUUGGGCAUCAUUUGGAUCAAUGUGCACACGGAUCAUAUUUUCCAUUCAAGGCUCUUAGGAUCUUCUUGAUGAUGAAUUUGUCGGUCAUCUGUUCACUUCGUAAGCCGGCAAUCUCGUUUGUAAUGAGAGCAAGCCUAGAGUACAUUUUAGCAACACCUUCACCAUCCUUCAUUUUGAACUUGUCAAGUUGACUUUGAAGCACAUCCAAUUUGGAUUCCUUGACGGAGUCGGUACCUUCGUGCAUGUCAAUCAAAGUAUCCCAAAUUUCCUUUGCAUUCUCAAGGCGGCUGAUUUUGUUGAAUUCUUCGGGGCACAAUCCGUUGAAGAGGAUAUCACAAGCUUGAGCGUUGUAUUGCAGCAUCUUCAACUCUUCCGCCGUAGCUUCACGGUUUGGUUCUCUCCCAUCGAAGAAUUCACCUUGCAAGCUAAUACACACACCUGCCAAGAACUAAUACUCUGCUAGGUUGUGAAACCAAGGCUAUGAUCACCAAAAGCUAUGGAAAUCAAGGCAAAUGGAGACCAAAGCUCUGAUACCAAUUGUAGGAUCGAAAGUAUGUCUAGAGGGGGGGUGAUUAGACUACUUGACCAAAUAAAAACUUAACCUUUUCCUAAUUUUAGUUCUUGGCAGAUUUUAACAACUUAGCACAAGUCAAGCAAUCUUAUCACAAUUCAAGCAAGCAUGCAAAGAGUAUAUGAGAUGCAGAAAGUAAAGCAUGCAACUUGCAAGAAUGUAAAGGGAAGGGUUUGGAGAGUGCAAACACAAUAGGAGACACAGAUGUUUUUGUCGUGGUUCCGAUAGGUGGUGCUAUCAUACAUCCACGUUGAUGGAGAGUUCAACCCACGAAGGGUAACGACUGCGUGAGUCCACGGAGGGCUCCACCCACGAAGGGUCCAUGAAGAAGCAACCUUGUCUAUCCCACCAUGGCAUCGCCCACGAAGGACUUGCCUCACUAGGGUAGAUCUUCACGAAGUAGGUGAUCUCCUUGCCCUUACAAACUCCUUGGUUCAACUCCACAAUCUUGUCGGAGGCUCCCAAGUGACACCUAACCAAUCUAGGAGACACCACUCCCCAAAAGGUAAUAGAUGGUGUGUUGAUGAUGAACUCCUUGCUCUUGUGCUUCAAAUGAUAGUCUCCCCAACACUCAACUCACUCUCAUAGGAUUGGAUUUGGUGGAAAUAUGAUUCGAGUGGAAAGCAACUUGGGGAUGGCUAGAGAUCAAGAUUCAUAUGAUUGGAUUGGAAUAUCUUGAUCUCAACACAUGAGUAGGUGGCUCUCUCUCAGAAAAUGGGUAAUGGAAAUGUAGGCACGUUCUGAUGGCUCUCUCCAUGAAUGAAGAGUGGGUGGAGGGGUAUAUAUAGCCUCCACACAAAAUCUAACCGUUACACACAAAUCACCAAACUCGGUGUGACCGAAUCAGAAAACUCGGUCAGACCGAUUUAGUUCAAAAUGUGAACGUAGGAUUUUCGGUGGGACCGACAUGUCAACUUGGUGGGACCGAUACCAUUAGGGUUCGGGCAUAACGUAAUCUCGGUUAGACCGAUUACUCAAACUCGGAUGGACCGACUUUGGUAAUAGACAAACAGAGAGUUGGUCAGGCGAACUCGGUGGGACCGAUUCGCUCGUCUCGGUGGGACCGAAGCGUUACGAAAAGGAAAUAGAGAGUUUGCAUUGCAGACUCGGUGGGACCGAUCGCUCAGCUCGGUGAGACCGAAAUGUUACGAAGGGAAACAGAGAGUUUGCAAUCCCAUCUCGGUGAGACCGAGAUCCCUAUUGGUGAGACCGAAAAGACUAGGGUUUCUGGCAGUGGCUAUGUCAAAUGAACUCGGUGGCGCCGGAUGGAUCAAAUCGGUGGGGCCGAGUUUGACUUUUGGUUUGGGACAUAUGUGGAUAUGAGAAAGUGGCUGAGGGCUUUGGAGCAUAUCACUAAGCACUUUGAGCAAGCAAGCCAUUAAGCAACACCUCACCCCCUUUUAAUAGUAUUGGCUUUUCCUAUGGACUCAAUGUGAUCUUGGAUCACUAAAAGUAAAAUGUAGAGCCUUGGACUUUGAAGCUUGAGCCAAUCUUUUGUCCUUAGCAUUUUGAGGGGUCCACAUUCCUUAUCCAUGCCAUGCCAAUCAUUGAACUUUUCUAAAAUAUUUAUCUUGUAAUGGCAUUAGUUCAAUGAGCUAUAUGUUGUUAAUCAUUACCAAAACCACCCAGGGAUAGUUGCACUUUCAAAGAGUUAAUAUAUGUACAUACCAAAACAAUUAAUGCAUCAAUUAGCUAGUCAUCACAGGCUUAAUUAAUAUAUAUACCUCGCCGGACUUUGCAACAGCUCCCUCCUCCAUUCGGUCACCGGAGUCGUCAUCACGGUCUCCUUCUUCCACCGGCAUUCCGUCACCGGAGCCAUCAUGAUCAUGUCCUUCCUCCUCCAUUGUUCGAUCACCGGAGCCUUCACCCUCUCCUUCCAGACCUUCGGUGUCGUUGAGAAAUGACAAGACAUCACCUCUGUCGAGGAUUAUGUCCCCCAACAACUGUUCUUUUUCCAAGUCUCUUUGCUCCAUAGUUUCUGCAAAUAUUAUAACAUGUCAAUUAAUAUACAAACAUGAGAGAUGGAUAUAUUAGUGGCAAACAUAUACCUAGCUAGCUAAUCACAACAAGGAAUAUUAAUUAGUGGCCUCGACGCUUCUAGGGUUUGGGGUGGCCUCGACAACGCUUCUAGGGUUUGGGGGUGGCCUCGGCAACCCUUCUAGGGUUUGACGUGGCCUCGACGCUUCUAGGGUUUGGUCGGGCAAGAGGGGGUUGAUCGACGUCCCCCCUCAUGUUGAAGAGUUACCGAAGUUCUCUCAUGAAUGUCCGACGUCCGGACCGCCUCUCUCAUGAAUGUCAAACAAGGGAUUUAACAAAAUGGCGCCAUUUUGGAUGUGCAGAAAAUGGUCCAUAUUUUUCCUGAUCUCAUCUACCCUACUAUAUGUCAUGUUGUCUAGUGUCAAAGGAUUCAAGUAAACCAUGAUUUCAUCAUUAGCCAGAAGUAACAGGCGCAUAAUGGUAUGAAGCUCUCCAAAAUUGUUUUGGAACGGAGUCCCGGAUAGGAUAAUUAGCCUUUUGGUACGAAGUUCAGCAAGAGCCUUCCGAAUAUCGCUAUUUGGAAGGCCUUUGCUAAAAUUCAUACAAAAACACGAAUUAUUCUAUCUAGAACUCCGUUCCAAAACAACUUUGAAGAGCUUCGUAGCAUCAUACGCCUGUUACUUUUGGCUAAUGAUGUAGCCAUGGAUUUCUUCAAUACUUUGACAGACAACAUGACAUAUAGAAGAAUAUAUAUAUAUAUAGAUAUAUAGAUGAGAUCAGAAAAAAAUUGGAUCAACUUGUGCACAUCCAUAAUGGGGGCAUUCUUGAUAAAUCUCGACCCUCGACCCUCGACCCCUCGGCGACCCUCGACCCUCUACCCUAGUUCCCGACCCUCGACCGCUCGGCAAUCCUCGACACCCUCGUUCCCGAUAAAAAAUAAGAAGAGGAAGAAGAAGAAAAAAAAAGAGGAGAAGAAGAAGGAAUUGAGGAGAAAUUAUUCUAUUUCUUCUUCUUCUUCUCCUCUUUUCUUCUUCUUCUUCUUCCUCUUCCUAUUUUUUCUCCUCUUCUUCCUCUCCUCUUCUUCUCCUUCUUCCUCUUCUUAUUUUCCCUUUUCCUCUCCUUCUUUUUCUUCUUCUUCCUUCUUCCUUCUUUCUGUUUUCUUCUUGUUCUUUUUCUCCUCUUUUUCCUCUCCUUCUCCUUUUCUUUUUCUUUUUCUUCUUCUUCCUUCUACCUUCUUCCUUCUUCCGAUCCUCGACAACUAACCUAAAAUGCACUAACCGAAAAUCGAUAUCUACUAACAACCUAAAUAAAAAAUUAAUACCUAUAUGAAAAAAACAUAUAUGAACAAAAAAAUGCUAUGAACAUCCAUACAUACAUAGCCACAUCCAUACAUACAUAUAGCCACAUCCAUACAAAAAAUGCUAUGAACAUCCAUAAAAAAACAAAGGAAGCAGCGGCGGCCAUGGGCGUCGGCGACGGUCAGUGACGGGGAUGGGAAAGGGGGCAACUCACUGGUGGCGCGACAACGAGGAACAGGCUCGGGGGCGCACGCGGCGACGGGGAGGAGGGCCCGGCGAUGGAGCUGGAGGCCGGCGAUGACGAGAGGAACGGGCUCGGGGCGCACAUGGCUACGGGAAGGCCGACGACGACGAGGAACGGGCUCGGGGGCGCACGCGGCAACGGGGAGGAGGCCGGCGACGGUCAGCGGGACCGGGGACGGCGACGACGAUGGGGCGGGGGCAGCGGACAGCUUCGGGGCAGCCUGGCGGCGUCGAUGUUGUCGGCGUGGUCGGGGGCAACUGCGAGAUGGAAGUGAAAAAAUUCUUAAGUGUUGGUUAUAUAGGAAAGCCUUUGGUCCUGGUUCAUGGCAUCAACCGGGACCAAUGCCCCCUUUAGUCCCGGUUGGUGCUACCAACCGGGACCAAAGGCCUUGUGCUGCCCUUGGCCAAAAAGUUUAGUCCCACCUCGCUAGUUGAGAGGGGCUCGGAGUGGUUUAUAAGCCCCACUGCCGCUGCCCUCUCGAGCUCCUCUCAAAUGCAGGCUUACGGGCCUAAACUCACUGUAUCUGCCUGUGGGCCUACUGGGCCUUCUGCGGGCCUGAAUCCUGGCCCACGGUUGGGUUUCUAGUCGUAUUCAGGCCGUGGUGGCCUAGUAGGUGGCAUUUUUUUCUAGUUUUUUUGUUUUGUUUUUGCUUUAUUUAUUUUCUUAUGUUUCUACUUACAGUUUUUCAGUGAUUCUUUUUUCUUUUAGGUCACAAAAAUUAUAAACUUUCUGUUAGUGCCAUUAGUUUUCAAAUUUGAAUAGUUUAAAUUUGAAUUUUUUGAAAUUUGUGUGAAUCACUAGUUUGUGAAUAACUUUAUUAUAAAAAUAGAUUUUUGAGUGAUUCUUUUUCCUGCUAUUUAAUUUUACUGUGUUUAUCAUUAUAUUCAAUUUGGUAAUUUUUAGGUUAUUUUAAAUAUUUGUUUUAAUCAAAAACAGAUUUUGUUAUUUUAGUUUGCUAUUAAAGUUUCUAACAAAAAAUUUCUUUAUGAAAUUUCUUUUUGCUUUUAAUGUUUUGAACAGAAAAUACUUUGAUAAUUUUAGUUGCAUAAAUUUAUAUAAUUUUAGUUUCAAAUAUACUAGAGGUUUAUAAAAGCUUUUUAGUUGAUUCCUUUUGCUAUUAGAGUUUUAUAAAAGCUUUUUAGUUGAUUCUUUUUACUAUUGAAGAAUACUAUAGUUUUGUUUUAGUUGAUCAUAACAGAAUAUUUUAAUUGAUUAUUUUUAGUUUAUUCUUUUUGCUAUUAGUUCAUUCUUUGAGCUAAAUGACCCUGAAAUUGAAAAGCACUACAAAUGAACUCUGAAAAGGUUGAAAGUUGGCAUGGUAUCAUCAUUUCACCCACAUAGCAUGUGCUAAAAAGUUGAGAGGGUUACGACAAAAACUGGAUACACUUCGUGUACAAAAUGGACAAUCUCUUUCGAAGUAUCAGGGGUUCGGACGAAAACUCGUCUGUUACAAAGGGAUUUCAUGUUUUGAACUUAUUUGAACUCCAGACUUUUUGUGUGUUCAAAAUGCACCAUUCAAAGCCACAUCAUCAAUUUUCAACCCUUUCUGACUUCAUCUGGUAUUUUUCAUGCAUUUACUGAUUUUUAAGCUAAAUGACCCUGAAAUUGAAAAGCACUACAAAUGAACUCUGAAAAGGUUGAAAGUUGGCACUAUAGGAGCAUACCACAUCACCCAGUACUUUCUCUCGAUUUUUCUCCACUGCGACCCGUCAGCGGGUGCUCUCAACUUCCCGUCUUUCUUACGGUCCUUUCUGUGCCAUAUCAACUUGGCAUGCUCUUUGUUUCUGAACAGACGUUUCAACCGUGGUAUUAUAGGAGCAUACCACAUCACCUUGGCAGGAACCCUCUUCCUGGGGCGCUCGCCGUCAACAUCACCAGGGUCAUCUCGUCUGAUCUUAUACCGUAAUGCAUCGCAUACCGGGCAUGCGUUCAAAUCCUCGUACGCACCGCGGUACAGGAUGCAGUCAUUAGGGCAUGCAUGUAUCUUCUGCACCUCCAAUCCUAGAGGGCAUACAACCUUCUUUGCUGCAUACGUACUGUCAGGAAAUUCGUUAUCCUUUGGAAGCUUCUUCUUCAAUAUUUUCAGUAGCUUCUCAAACCCUUUGUCAGGUACAUCAUUCUCUGCCUUCCACUGUAGCAAUUCCAGUGUGGUACCGAGAUUUGUGUUGCCAUCUUCGCAAUUGGGGUACAACCCUUUUGUUGUGAUCCUCUAACAUGCGAUCGAAUUUUAGCUUCUCCUUUUUUACUUUCGCACUGUCUCUUUGCAUCAACAAUGACCUGGCGAAGAUCAUCAUCGGGCACAUCGUUUGGUUCAUCUUGAUCCUCAGCUUCCCCCGUUGCAGCAUCACCAUAUUCAGGGGGCACAUAGUUGCCAUCAUCCUCUUCUUCUUCGCUGUCUUCCAUCAUAACCCCUGUUUCUCCAUGCUUGGUCCAAACAUUAUAGUGUGGCAUGAAACCCUUAUAAAGCAGGUGCGUGUGAAUGGCUUUCGAGUCAGAGUAAGACCUCGUAUUCCCACAUAUAGGGCAUGGACAACACAUAAAACCAUUAUGCUUGUUUGCCUCAGGUACUGCAAGAAAAUUAUGCAUGCCCUCAAUGUACUCGGAGGUGCGUUUGUUACCAUACAUCCAUUGCCGGUUCAUCUGCGUGCAUUAUAUAUAAUUAAGUGUAUCAAAAACCAUUACAGAACAUCAUGAAUAGAUAAGUGACCAAAUUAAUAGAAGUUCAUCAUCACAUUAAAACCAAAGUACAUACAUAGUUCUCAUUGAACAACAUAUAGCUCUCCAGAGCAUCUAAUUAAACCGUAAAUUGAAACUAUGUAAAACAUUUCAAUGCAACAACAAAUGCGAUCAUAAUCGCAACUAAGGUAACAAUUGAUCCAACGGCAUAAUGAUACCAAGCCUCAGUAUGAAUGGCAUAUUUUAUUGUCUUAAUAAUCUUCAAGCGCAUUGCAUCCAUCUUGAUCUUGUGAUCAUGGACGACAUCCGCAACAUGCAACUCCAAUAUCAUCUUCUCCUCCUCAAUUUUUUUCAAUUUUUCCUUCAAGUAAUUGUUUUCUUCUUCAACUAAAUUUAACUCUCGACAAUAGGGUCGGUUGGAAUUUCCGGUUCACAUACCUCCUAGAUAAAAAAAUCUAUGUCACGUUGGUCGGCAUAAUUGUCAUAAACAAUAAAUGAACCAAAUAGUUAUAAAAGAUAAUAUAUACCACAUCCGAAUCAUAGACAGGACGAGGGCCGACGGAGGCGGAUACCAAAACCAUCGCACAACAUAAUAACAAACAAUAAUAAAAGUAAGAAAAUUACACAAGUAUCUAUCUAAAUCAUACAAGUAAGAACUUUUUUCUUUUAGAAAGAAGAUAAGAUCAAGAGGCUCACCACGGUGGUGCCGACGACGAGAUCGGCACGGGCGAUCGAUGGCGGUGAGGACAGGGACGGGACAGGACGGACCGCCAAACCUAGACAAAUCUUGAGGAAAAUGGAGCUUGGACAAGGAGCUUUGAGAGGAGAAAGAUUAAGUGUAGCUCGGGCAUUUCAUCGAACACCUCAUGUGCAUAGGAGGUGAGCUAGAGCACCACAAAGCUCUCCCAUGCACGGCCGGCCAAAAAAAUAGAGCACUCCACUGCUCUGCUCGCGGGCGAGGUGGUAUAUAUAGGCAUCUCAUUGGUCCCAGUUCGUGGCUGGAACCAGGACUAAAGGACCCCCUUUGGUCCUGGUUCCAGCCAUGAACCGGGACCAAUGGUUGUGGGCCAAGGGCGAGGCCCAUUGGUCCCAGUUCGUGUCUGGAACCGGGACUAAAGGGGGUAGACGAACCAGGACCAAUGCCCCACGAGGCCCGGCCGGCCCCCUGGCCUCACGAACCGGGACCUAUGCCACCAUGGGUCCCGGUUCAUGACUAAACCGGGAUUAAUGGGCUUACCUGCCUGGACCAAAGCCCUGUUUUCUACUAGGGUAGGUAGGCGAGAGAGGCGCCCCCCAACUGUACCCUGCAUCCCAGUGGCUAGGAAGAAGAGAUAUGACCAGAGGACAGAGUUCCCGGAGCAGUCUGAAAACACGACCUCUGUGAGAAGGUACCACAGGUAGGCCCUCGCGUACUGCUCCACCGUACCCCCAUCGGCAUUUACGGGGCAUUUCUUCCGGUUCUUCAGGAGCCAGGGCAGCGAUACACCGGAUGUUCGGUUACCCUUAGUGUCGGGGCAGUCAUCGAUGAGGGUGGUAGCCCUCUGCUGCGAGUUGGUCCUCUCCACUCGCCCGGUGAGUGCAUGACCUUCGAUCGGUAGGGCCGUAAUCAUCCCCCAAUCCUCGAGGGUCACCGUCAUCUCCCCGCAUGGGAGAUGGAAAUUAUGCGUCUUGGGUCGCCACCGGUCAAUCAAAGCCGUGAGAGCUACAUGGACGAGCGUCGGCGGCUGACGCUUGAACAGUAGGACGAAACCCAACAGUCGGGCUCUCCUGAAGUACGGCGUGUAGCGCUCGUCAUACUCCAUCUUCACGGCAUUCGUGUGACCCUGCAUGCGCAGUGGUAGGAGCAUCUGUCAAAAAGUGGACGCCAAAAGUUAGUAACUUAUUUUCAUCAAUCCCAAAACUUUGGUUCAAUAUUUCGACCAUAGUACUUACCACUCCGUUCUCUAUGAAAUGGGCACGAUGACCCUUGUCAAACGCGUAUUCAAGCAUGGAGUACCACUUGCCAAUGUUGCCCGCAAGAGGUGCCCGCCUAAAUAAAAUUUCAUAAACAUAAGCAUUAUAAGCAUAAGCAUAAAUAAAAAAUGAAACAUGGUUGAUUCAUUCAUACACCAUUCAUAUAUUUAUUCAUACAAUAUUCAUAUAUAACAUCCACAUGCAUCAUAUAUCAAAACAAAUUCCUCCAACAUGCAUCAUAUCAUCAUUUUUCUAACAAAAAAAUUAUAAACUAGGGUUCAUCUUGAGGGUUCACCAUUUUUUCUCCAACAACAUCCACUAUACAUCUUGCAUCAUAUCAUAUCAACAUGCAUCAUAUAUCAAAACAAAUUCCUCCAACAUUCAUCAUAUCAUCAUUUUUUAACAAUUUUUUUAUAAACUAGGGUUCAUCUUGAGGGUUCACGAUUUUAUCUCCAACAACAUCCACAAUACAUCUUGCAUCAUAUCAUAUCAACAUGCAUCAUAUAUCAAAACAAAUUCCUCCAACAUGCAUCAUAUCAUCAUUUUUCUAAACUAAAAAAAAUAUGAACUAGGGUUCAUCUUCACACUACCAUUCGAACUAGUGAGUAGUGUUCAUAUUCAACACCACUAGUGAUUAGAGAACAUCUAAAAUCAACCUAAAACAAUCCUAGGUAAAAAAAUCCAAUCUUAGUUCAAAAAUAGGGGUGAUUUGAAGCAAAUAAUGGGUCGAAUUGGAAGCUAUUUGACUAAAAGUAAUUGGAGGGAUUGGAGGAGCUUACUUUUCUUUCUUCGGAGCCAUCUCGAUCCGCAAAAACGGUGAAGAAACAAAGAAGAUCCAAGGGGAGGAGUAGAGAGGGGCGAGCAAGAGCAAGAACUCUGUUCUUGGCGGCUGGGAGGAGAGGGGAUGGGGGAGAUGGGGCUGGGGCGGGUGCGUCGGCCCGUAUAACUGCUCGCACCCUACUGCCAGGGUCCACGGCGGUAAGGUUAUACAGGCUACCACCAGGGACAGUGGCAGUAGGGGGGACGGAGGGGGACGACGGCCGUCUGGGGCUGCUGACGUGGAUUAGCCCUGGCGGUAGGAUGUGUAACCCUACCACCAGGACCCAUGGCGGUAAGAAAAAGAGUCAGAUUUCAAAACAAAAUCGAACGAGGGUCAGAUCCUGAAAAUCUUUGCUAAAAGGGUCAAAACACGAAAUUCGGCCCCUGCAAUUGAAUUGAGAUCAUUCAUGAUUGUUGUUUUGAUGGAAACUUCCAUGAAAGUGUAUAUUAGUGUUUCCUUUGCUCUGACCCCACAAAUUCACCAGCGUCAACAACCUACACAAUCAUAUGAGCCACCGUUGAUCCGAGCAAAUAAUGAUAAUGGUUAACUAAGCACGAGACGAAAUAUUUACCUGUUCUCGUGGAUUGUAAUCACAACGAUCAUAUCGAUGCAAGUCACAACAUUCAAGACAAAAAAAAUCUUGCAUUGCUUUUGCAAAAAAUUCUCAUAAUAUACAUCAUGGUAAUACAACUCAGACCGCACAACAACACACUUCAUGGUGUGCAUGAUCUUUAAGACAUCUUACUUGCCGGGGACAAAGUUCGUGGCAAACGCCCAUGCGUUGUUGUUGACUGGGUCAGCGAUGUGGUCAGCGAGGUUCUCAAGUGGGCCCUUGCCCGUGACGAUAGCUUGGACAAAGAAGCCGAACAUUGAGAACAUGGCAAGGCGACCAUUCUUGAUCUCCUUCACCUUGAGCUCGGCGAAUGCCUCAGGGUCGUCGGCUAGGCCCAGAGGGUCGAAGCUGCCUCCUGGGUAUAGUGGGUCGACGAUCUCACCGAGUGGGCCACCAGCAACGCUGUACCCCUCGACGGCACCCAUGAGGACGACCUGGCAUGCCCAAAUAGUUAGGAUGCUUUGCGCGUGCACAAGACUGGGGUUGCCGAGGUAGUGAGACCACCCUCACUAAAGAUUUGGGAGCCGGCCUUGAACCAAACAGCCUCGCCAAACUUGACGCCGUUGCGGGCGAGCAACUCAGGGAAGACGCAACCAAGUGCCCCAAGCAUGGCCCAACGACAGUGGAUCACUUCCAGCUCCCGAUUCUUGGAGAAGGUCUCGAGGUCAGCCGAAAGUCCAGCAGUGUCCCAACCAUAAUCGCCUGGGAACUCACCGAUGAGGUAGCUCGGGGGCUCACGAGAGAGUGGGCCGAGGUAGAGCACACGGUCGGCACCGUACCAUGGGCUACCAGAGGUAACCUGUUUCACCUUCGCUGCAGUCUUACGCAUGGUGACACGGGCCUCACCGAAGAGAGCCGAUGACGGUAUGUUCUUCAUCAUCUUGCCGGCAAAGGACGAGGAGGAAAGGGACAUGGCAGUCGCUGCCAUUGGAGAGCUAAGACUGGAGUCUGCUGUAUGGGUUCUCCAAGAGAGGCGUGAGUGUGAAUAUGACUUGAUAGGAGAGGGGGAUGUGGCUACUUAAGGCAGCGGAAGGUGGGAUAGGGCAGGUGUCUAAGCUUUACAAGAUAAACAUGGAUAGAGAGAAAAAUCCCCUCCUCUGGCGCUCCCACGGGCGGCAGGGGAGGAAACCCUAGUCGCCGCCGAACCGCGACCCUCUCCCCAUCCCUCCCCUCGCUGCCGCCAGGGCGUGCUGGCGGGCGAAGCCCGCCCGGCAUGGGCGGCGGCGGGGCGCUCUCUCCUUCUCGCGAGGCGGGAUCGUCGUGGGGCGAUCUACCCUGGCCGGAACGCGGCGUUGUGCGGGGCGCGGCGACGCUGGGCUGCCACGGUGGCUGGUGUGGAGGGCUGCACGAGGCGGGAUGCGUGCUGGUGAUGGUUGCGGCGGCCGGUGGUCGUUCUGCCGGAUCUGGACGACGCGGGGGUGGUGGCACCUGUGCUAGGCAGAGUCGGGCGAGAUCCCCUUCGGGCUGGCAUCCGUGGUGCAUGCGGUUUUGCUGGUUGCUCGCCGGAUUCGUCCUGUAGCUUGCGCUCGGCCUUGAUCGGCGCCGAGGCAGGUCGGGGAGGCAUCCCCCGGGUGCUCGAGAUGUGCUAUUGGUGGCUGUGCUAGAUGUGCAGCUACUGACACCGGUGGAGUCCGACGGCCCUUCUCCAUGGAGGCGGGACAGGGCGGUGGUGGUCAUCUCCUCCGUCGGAGGUGGUCGGCCUGAGGCUAGGUGGUCGGAUCUCCAGAUCCGUCAUCUAGUCCUGGCUACGAGUCGGGGAAACAUGGUUGCCGGAGAAAACCGAGCCGACGGCAGGCAAUGGCGGCGUCCUCGCCGUUACCUUGAUGGAGGCAUCGUCGUGUAACUACUGUCGACCCACUCGUGCUGCUCCGGGGGAAACCCUAGGAUCUGGUGUUCCAGAUCGGACGAUGGCGGCACUGCGGUGUCGUUUCUCUCUUGGGAGCAUCGUUUCUGGAGCAGCGCUGGAAGUCAGAGGCAGGAGGUGGAGCGGCUUCAUCUUGCACGGAGCUUCGGUGGAGAUGUCAAGUCAUGCCUGACCGACAGGUGCUACGCUUUGUCCUGCCUGGUCGGCAGGUGCUACGCACGAUAGAUCUUCCAAGGACUUCAAGCCGUGUCGGCUGCUGGUACUUGGCAGCAUGGCGCUGAGGUGUAUGAGUGGCGACCGCGACGUGCUCAGCUGUUUGCGCGCAGGGAGGAGGUGUCGUUGGGCGCCAUGGUGGCGUCGACGAUAGCUGGACCGAGCAAGGUUGAUGCAUCAGUACAGUUCUGAAGAUGGAGCGGUGGCAGUUGGCGGCGGCGGCCUCUGAGAGCACGCCGGACCAGUGUGUGCCCCAGACCCGGCAAGUGGCUAGGUUGGGGUCUCAGGUCUUAGAUGUUAGGCUUGGCUGCGAUGUCUGUUUGGUAUUAGGCCCAGGCUAUCUGCGCCCCUUCAUCAACUGGAUAGGUGUAGCGACAGUUUGUUGCUUAGACGGCGGCUUUAGUCUUACUGUUAUAUGACUUUGUAAGGUCUUGUGAGAAUAAUUAAUAAAGUGGCUGUAUGCAUCGCCCAGAUGCAGAGGCCGGGGGUCAUCCUCCUUUUCUAAAAAAAAUUUGGUGCUGCAGAGAUCUCUUCGUGUCAGAACACUUGGAGCAGCGAGAACCAGGAAAUGCGUAUUGCCGCGAGCUUGUGGCUAGAAGUGGCUGUGACCAGGAUCUCCUUGGAGACUGCUGAUUGGAUCAAGUGUGAGUGAGAUCUGCACUAGGAAGCAUCGCGCAGCGUCACACCGCUAGCUGUUGUCCUCAUGUAUCCUUUAGCGUUCAGAAAUCUAAAAUCAGAAUAGGCCGUGGUAAAAGAUCACAUUAUUGAGCCAAAUUCCAUACAUAAAACUAAAUAUAUUCAUUUUUUCUCGGAAAAAUGUAGGUACACCUUAAUUUUCCAUUCAACUAACAAGUAAAUUAACUUAUUUAAUUUACAUCUGCACAUUCUGUAUGUUUUAGAUUAAAGUAAAUGACUUACGGAUCCGGAUCUGUAGAACCUGGAUAUUGGCGCAUCCACUAAAGCAUUUUAACUUAAAAAAGAGUAAAAAAGAAGAGACAGAGAAAAGAAUUAAACAAAUUCUGUAGCGAACGUGGUCGAGUGUUCUACUCAUGAAGGAAGUUCGCCAAGAAUUGACUUCCGUGUUCUUCUAGGAAAGAAAACAAAAUCGCAACAUCAAAAAUCUUGAAUAGUAACUUUUAUACAGAUUUGACUUUUUUUUAGAACGAAGGCUCAGAAGAGCCCGGCUUUGAAUUAACAAAGCCAUCAACCGGCCAGGAUUACAAGAACACCAACUAACAAGAAAAGCAAAAAGAAAAACAAGCGGCUGAUACAAGGAGCCAAGCGAAACAGAUUCUAAGGCAGCAGCGAUAGCAACACGCCAGGCUGCUGCCAUCACCCUACAGGACGACCUACACCAUCCGGACAAGCUAUGGACUUGAGAGGAUGCACCACGGCGCAAGCUUCGUGAUCGUAGCCCAACUCGAAGACAGAACAUACACUCCUCUGGAACUGCCACUGCAAAGGGCCCCUGCCCUCUCAUCCUGGCUCGAAGGAUGCCGCACCGGCAGGCAGCAGCUCGGUUCACCCUAGAACCCAGAGGAAGACGUCCAAGCUGCGCAUGAGGAAGGAACUAGGAGCAGACCUGCUAGCACAGAGCACACCAUUCCGAGCACCGUCGCCGUCCGCGGUUAAGCCACACCGAAGGGCUAGAGCUGUCGGCCACAGUCGCAGCAACACGGGAAACAACGAUGAGCCACCGAAGAAAAGGCGAUGAAGCGCCGAGCCAAGCUGCCACCCGCCACCAUCGCACCCACAACCUGACUCUCUCGCCGCCCCUGCGAUCCCCGGACUGCGCCUCCAAGAAGGAACACGACACGGAUGUGUCGUCGCCGCCCGAAACAGGGGACCUAGGCUUUCACCUAGCAGGGAACGGAAGGAGGGGAAGAAGGAUCCUCACCACAGCCUCCAGGGAGGAGAACGACGCCCGUGGCGACGCCUGCGAUGUGGCUGCGCCGGCCAGGGGUUUCCCCCGGAUCCAACCCCACUCGACGAGAUCCGUGCUGCCGGCGCCCGAGAAGAACGGCCAAAGCCGCUAGGACCCGGAUCCGGCGAUGGAAGGAGCAGAUCGGGGCGGAGAGGGUGAGAUGCAUCUGGCGGCCGCAACCGCGCAGGGGAGGCCGCACACCGGCGCCCGUGGACCGACGCCUCCUCGUCCCCCGCGAGACCGAGGGAGGCGCCUCACUAGCUCCGGCCGGAAUGGCCCGCUGCCCGGGCCACCCUGCGCUCUCCGCCCGGGGCCGUCGCCCCGGAUGCCGAGACCCUCCACGCGAAGUGGAGCCGCCAGAUCCCCCGCCGCCACCUUCAUCGGUGUCGAGCGCACGCCGGCGCACACCUCUGGCGGCGGCGGAGGGGAAGGGGAGGGGGGAGGAGGGGUGCGGCGGCGGCGGUUAGGGUUUCCCCCGNNNNNNNNNNNNNNNNNNNNNNNNNNNNNNNNNNNNNNNNNNNNNNNNNNNNNNNNNNNNNNNNNNNNNNNNNNNNNNNNNNNNNNNNNNNNNNNNNNNNNNNNNNNNNNNNNNNNNNNNNNNNNNNNNNNNNNNNNNNNNNNNNNNNNNNNNNNNNNNNNNNNNNNNNNNNNNNNNNNNNNNNNNNNNNNNNNNNNNNNNNNNNNNNNNNNNNNNNNNNNNNNNNNNNNNNNNNNNNNNNNNNNNNNNNNNNNNNNNNNNNNNNNNNNNNNNNNNNNNNNNNNNNNNNNNNNNNNNNNNNNNNNNNNNNNNNNNNNNNNNNNNNNNNNNNNNNNNNNNCCUCUCUCUCUCGAUUUGACCUUUUGUUUGCACAAAAGACCAUGGGAGUCGCUCCUUCACGAAACUUUACAUGUGAGUAUAACAUUAGACCAUGUCUUUACACAAAGUUACAGAAUUCUUUAUCAUUUUUGCUAUUUUAAAAAUAUCUUUUCAAUACAGGUGCAUCUAGACCCAGGUUCCACUGGGUAUUUUCGCUCAUUAUACUGCUACUGAAAUAAACAUGUUAGCUUUGGUAAAUAAAAAUACUACUAAUUUAACCCUAAAUGAAAAUAUUCAUCCUUUCUUAAUAAUCUUGUACAAACAAAAAAAAUCAAAGUGCCUAACAUUACAACAUAAAUUAGGAAAAUAAAAUGAUGGAGGCUAUUACUUUGAUAUUAAACUAGUGUUUGUUUAAGAUGUUAGUUUCCCAAAUUUCUGGGAUAACGUACACGCAUAUCUUUGUUUUUAUCUGAUGCUAGACGACUCCAAAUACAUUGCAUGCAUGUGAUCACAAAUAAUAUUAUCGUUUCGCAACAUUGCCGUAUAAAUUCACAUACUACUUCAAAACAUCAGUGUUGAGUCAAUUUCAUCUGCGUGCUUAUGCUUUUUACUUAAUUUUUUUUCAAAAAGGGGUAUCCCCGGCCUCUGCAUCAGAACGAUGCAUACAGCCAUAUUGUUGAUAAGCAAAAGGUUCAAUAAAAGUCUUCAUGUCUGAAGAAAGAAAAGAGACUCACACAGAGCCCAAGCAAAAUAACAGGAUAGCCACAACCGGCAGGCAAAAAGAUAAGAUAGGAAACUAAACAUCUAUCCUAUUACAUGACCGCCAUCCAAACCGGUUGAAAAUAUUCCGUGCUACCGUCUCCCAUCGGAUAGAUCCAGUAACCAGACGCUACCUGGCCUCCGUCGGAGUGAGUAGCGACCACAUACGGAUCAGUGCAGUGGCUCGGAAGAUAACCUGCAAGAAAUGAAUAUUUGUUGUUCUAAUAAAAACCAAAUCAUUUCUGCAGUUCCAAACUGCCCAUAACAAAGCACAUACUCCUACACGGAUAUGUCUCGCUAUUUCUGGUUCUAUCCCAUCUAGCCACGUCCCAAAUAACCUGUUGAUAGUAUUCGGAGGAGUAAUAUUAAAUGCUAUGUGGACCGACCGGCACAGAAUUUUUGCCAAUGGGCAGUCAAGAAAGAGGUGUUUGAUGGAUUCGUCACUACCACAGAAAAUACAUCUUGUGGAUCAUGUCUAGUUGCGUUUUGCCAAAUUGUCCUUAGUUAGAGUGACUUGUUUAUGGACAAACCACAUAAACACUUUGAUUUUUAAAGGCACUUUGACUUUCCAAACAUGUUUCGAACGAGGAAUAGAGCUAGAGUUGAUGACAUCCAAAUACAUGGAUUUAACCGAAAACUCUCCAUUCUUUGUUAGUUUCCAGAGCAACUGGUCGGGCUGUUGAGAUAGGUGAACAUCCAUCAAUCUUCUCACAAGAUGGAGCCAAACUUCCCAACGGUUUCCCGCUAGCGUCCUCCUGAAUUGAAUAUUAAGAGGAUUGGACUGUAAUACUGUUGCAACGUAAGCGUCUCUUCGCUGAGCAAUAUUAUAGAGAGAAGGAUAUUGGAGUGCAAGGGGCGUCUCCCCUAGCCAUGUAUCAUCCCAGAACCUCGUGGUAGUACCAUUUUCAACUACAAAUUUUGUCCUGUUGAAAAAGACUGAUUGCACUCUCAUCAGUCCUUUCCAAAAAGGAGAAUCAGUCGGCCUUACGGUCACCUGAGAUAGUGUUUUGGAUUGAAGGUACUUAUUCCACAGAAUCUGGGCCCACGUGGCAUCCGUCUCUACAGAUAGCUUAUACAACCACUUGCUGAGUAAACAUCUGUUCUUCACCUCUAAAUUUUCAAUGCCGAUACCCCCUUGGUCUUUCGGUCUACAAAUGAUAUCCCCUUUAGCGAGUCUGUAUUUUCGUUUUAAUUCAUCGCUCUGCCAGAAGAAGCGCGAUUGAUAGAAAUAUAGCCUUUUCCGGACUCCAACUAGUACCUCAAAAAAGGACAAGAGAAACAUAGGCAUACUCGUGAGGAUCGAAUUAAUGAGAAUUAGUCGGCCUCCGUAUGACAUAAGCUUGCCCUUCCAGCAGCUUAGUUUUUUUUCAAAUCGAUCCUCAAUGCACUUCCAUUCUUUGUUGGAAAGCUUGCGAUGGUGGAUUCGUAUACCCAAAUACGUGAAGGGUAAAGACCCCAAUUCGCACCCGAACAAUUGUUUGUAAGCUUCUUGUUCAUCUUUAGCUCUUCCAAAGCAGAACAAUUCACUUUUAUUGAAGUUAAUCUUUAACCCCGAGAAUUGUUCGAACAGGCAUAACACAAGCUUCAUGUUCCUUGCUUUUGCCAAAUCAUGCUCCAUGAAGAUGAUAGUAUCAUCAGCGUACUGCAGGAUAGACACUCCUCUGUCAACUAAAUGCGAAACGAGGCCACCUACCUGGUCGUCAUCCUUAGCCCUUCCUAUUAGGAUUGUCAACAUGUCAACCACUAUGUUGAACAGAAUCGGUGACAUCAGGUCUCCUUGCCUCAGACCCUUGUGUGCCUGAAAGUAAUGACCUAUGUGAUCAUUCACUUUGAUUCCAACACUCCCUUUUUGCGUGAAAGAAUCUACCUGGUUUCUCCAGGACUGAUCGAAUCCUUUCAUACGCAAGGCCUGCUGAAGAAAAGGCCAUCUUACCUUAUCGUACGCUUUCUCAAAAUCCACUUUGAAAACCACCCCAUCUAGUUUUUUCGUGUGGAUUUCAUGGAGAAUUUUAUGUAGGACCACAACCCCUUCUAGGAUGUUUCUGUCCGGCAUGAAAGCAGUUUGAGAUGGCUGCACCACAGAAUGCGCAAUCUGCGUAAGCCUAUUAGUCCCAACCUUGGUGAAAAUUUUAAGCUAACAUUAAGAAGACAGAUCGGCCUGAACUGUUCAAUCCGCACGGCCUCUGUUUUCUUAGGAAGCAAAGUAAUUAUUCCGUAAUUCAAGUGAAAUAGCUGCAAAUGUCCAGAAAAUAAAUCAUGGAACAUCGGGAGCAAGUCACCCUUAAUAAUGUGCCAACACUUCUUAUAAAACUCCGCCGGAAAACCAUCCGGCCCUGGAGCUUUAUUAUUCUUCAUUUCUGAAAUUGCCUCAAACACCUCUUUCUCCGAAAAUGGGGCGGUCAAAAUAUCGUUCUCAUCCCUUCUAGCUGAGGCACAUCCUCAGCCCUCGACUCAUCCAAGGAUACAAAAUUAUCCUCAGGCGGCCCAAACAACUGCUUAUAGUAAUUGGUGAUGUAUAAUUUUAGGUUCUCCUGUCCUAAAAUCGUCCCCUCAUCUUGCUCGAGCUGAAAGAUUCUCUUCUUUCGAUGCUUGCCAUUCGCAAUCAUAUGGAAGAAUUAAGUGUUAUCAUCCCCUUGGACGAUUUUGCGAACUUUAGCUCGCAGUGCUCACUUCAAUUCCUCUUCUCGAAGCAGUUCUUUCAGUCUCAUUUCCGCCUCCACUUUAGUUUCCAGCUCCCUGGUAUCUAGAAUGGAGGACUCGACUUUUAAAUCUAGGGAUUGACUAAGUAAAAGGAGCCUUUCCUUUUCAACCUUAUAAAUCCCACUUAAAUGUUUGGCCCAUCCACGUAAGAAACGUCUUAGGUGUCUUAUCUUGUUUUGCCAUCUUUGAACAUUCGACCUCCCUCCUGAAUCUUUAGCCCAUUCUCUCGCUAUCAGAUCUAGGAACCCUUCUCUUUCAAGCCACGCUAAUUCGAAAGAAAAAGUGUUCUUGUUCCCCAGGUGCGUUGCCUCUCCAGAGUCAACCAGCAACGGUGUAUGGUCGGAAAUCGCGCGUGAUAAUGCUUGGACUGUCACCAGGGGAAAUUUCAGCUCCCAUUCGACGCUAGCAAGGACACGAUCCAACUUCUCAAAUGUCGGGAUUGGUAACGUAUUGGCCCAAGUGAAUUUUCUACCGGACAGCUCUAUCUCUCUAAGAUCCAAACUUUCAAUGAUUGUAUUAAACAUAAACGACCAUCUGCCGUCAAAGUUAUCAUUGUUUUUUUCCUCCCGUCUUCGAAUAAUGUUAAAAUUGCCCCCAACCAGAAUUGGGAGCUGCUCGCUACCACAAAUACGGACUAGAUCCGCCAAAAAGUCUCGUUUUAGUUCAGGCUGCGUGGCGCCAUACACCGCCACCAAAGCCCAAUUAAACCCAUCAGCCUUCGAUCUGACCUGAAACUUAACUGCAAAAUCACCCAUAACCACAUUGCGGACUUCCAACGUAUCGCAUUUAACCCCAAGUAAAAUCCCACCGGAUCUUCCUCUUGGAGGUAGGCAAUGCCAAUCGAAUUCGACACCUCCCGAUAAAGUACUAAGAAACUGGGGAGUAAAAUUAUCCCUGCCAAUUUCGGAGAGGGCGAUAAAUUCCAACUUGUGUUCUAUAGAAGCAUCCGCUAGAAACCUUCUUUUAGCCAAGUCCUUAAGACCUCUGCUAUUCCAAAAGAUUCCUUUCAUACUUCAUCAUGAAAUUUUUUAGUGGCCCGGAUCCUAGCACUUCUACGCACAGCCGAAGCCGGAUAAAUCUUUUGUUUCCACUUGCAUUUAGGCUUGUUUUGUUCCUCUACUCGGUCCUCACAACCAAGCUCAGUUGACCUAACCACCUGAGAAUCUGCAAGAAUGGAAUCCCUAGGGGAGAUAGAACACUCAUCCUCCUCAGUUUCAGGAAGAGAGGGUGCAAGAUCCACACAAAAGCUAUCAAGUAUCCUAACUCCCAACGCAUCUACAUCCGAGUCGUUCAUAGGUUUAACAGCCGCUAAGUUUUGAAUCAUUUCUAAGGCACGUUCCGCUUCAGAUCUAGGUUAUCAUUAAUGGAUUUAGAAAUUUCACUACCAUUACUACCUAGUGAAACUCCCAACUGAUUUGCAUUAUGAAUAAUCUCAUCAUUAGAAAAAUGCAAAAAAGAAUUGGAGGUGUUGACUGACAUACCCAUAGUGACCUCAAUGUCACGAAGCUUGGCCGCCCGCAUGGUGCACCUUAGCUGCAUGUCAUCAACAUCCGGCUGAUCCUGGAGGCGACAACUCAUCCAUCGACCUUCGGACACAGGAUCCGGAAUCCCUCCAAAGGCGAUGAUGUCAUCCCGCGUUUAAUUUUUAUGUGUUUAGCUCUUAAAUUAGCACAGAAAUGUGUGUUUCCACUUCAGAUAACAAUGCCCUGGUGGUGAACCGAACCACAUGGCUUUGGGAUGUGGUCGCUUUGGGGAGUUCUUUUUGUGAAAGAAAGGAAGGAUUGCUUGAAAUAUAUAAUGGGGGGCAGGGGAGGGUGAAGGCUUUCGCUGGAGUGGUUGGGUUGGGGGAGGGCAGUUAGCUCGGAUAGAUACAAUCUUGCAUUCUUUCUGAUUGAUGGUACAAUCUUGGGCUAUUGUUCAGGUAAUGUGUCAGGUGAAAACGAUCAAUAUUAGUUGAGUGGUGAAAUUGGGUAAGAACAAAAAAGAUUGGUUCAAGAAUUGGAUCAGUAUAAAAAUGUCUAGAAGUUAGGUAGUUCUUAGAUGAUUGACAUUUGCUGACAGAAUAGCCUCAUUAGUUUAGGGGCAACGAGACAUCACCUGAGAGGGUGGUGAUUACGGCAUGGGAUACCGGGGAUGAUCGUGUGGGACACAAUGUUGUUCUAGCUUUCAGGAUUGGACCAGGAUUAAUUUGGAUUCAUAUACUAGACCUACUUGCAUUCAUCCUAGGAGUUACUAACAAUGGUUGCUUUAUGUUAGGUCUGAUAAAUUUUAAGUAGUAGCACGGAGGCACUUCUGCACUGGACAAAUCUAACGAUGUUUUAGCUGGUGAGAANNNNNNNNNNNNNNNNNNNNNNNNNNNNNNNNNNNNNNNNNNNNNNNNNNNNNNNNNNNNNNNNNNNNNNNNNNNNNNNNNNNNNNNNNNNNNNNNNNNNNNNNNNNNNNNNNNNNNNNNNNNNNNNNNNNNNNNNNNNNNNNNNNNNNNNNNNNNNNNNNNNNNNNNNNNNNNNNNNNNNNNNNNNNNNNNNNNNNNNNNNNNNNNNNNNNNNNNNNNNNNNNNNNNNNNNNNNNNNNNNNNNNNNNNNNNNNNNNNNNNUAUAUUACUCAAAAGCCGCCAAGGCAGCAAGCACAGAAUUACAAAGGCACCGCGCAGCGUGCAGAGAGGUAGGAACGCCACGAGGAGACGUCCUCCUUGUCACAUGUUGCCAUGAGACGAUGUGACCAAAGGUCUAGGUCAAAGAUAAGAGCCCUGAGGGUUAUUACAGAACGUUGGUCAAUGUUUCUAAACAACAUGUCAUUGCACGCAGCCCAUAUCUUCCAAAGGAGAGACAUGAGAAUAAUUGGCCAAGUCUUGUGUGGCAGGUGGUGAGGUAAUGGAGUGUCCCAAAGGUCGAUGAUGUCCUCCACCUGUGGUAGGAUGCCUACCCGCUGCCAGACUCGGUUGGCAAGGGGGCAGGUGAGAAAGAGAUGCAUGGAGUCCUCAGGUAGCAUGGCACAACGAGGACAUAUGUCUGUGGAGAUGAUCUGCUUGUGGGCAAGGUUGGCCCUGGUGUUGAGACGAUCCUUGAAGAGGAGCCAGGCAAAAAAAAAAUCUUGCGUGGAACCUUGGAGCGCCAAAUGAGGGGAGCAAGAGGAUCACUAUCCAGGCCAUGAGUGUGCCGUACGCAUGCUUGGUGGAGAAGGCAAGACCCCGAAGUAGAAACCUUUGGUCUUCCUCAGCCGAGGGAACGAAAUCCUGCAAAACAGCCAACAACGCAACAAGCUCUUGCUCUGCCAGAAGGGAGAGACGGUUAAGGAGGUUAGCUUCUAAACCGUAUCGCAGCACAUUAGCCAGCUUAACCAGCUGAAGAGUGGAGUGUGAGAACAGGUGAGGAAAGUGUGAGCUAGAGGUGUUGGGGUGAGCCAAGUGUCGUGCCAGAAAUAAGUGUGGGUCCCACUGUUUGUUAGGACGAAGGAGAUGGACUGUAGAGUGGGUAUUUGCUGCGCAAUGGUACGACAGAGAAAGGAGUUUUGGGGUGGGGGUGAGACUAGUGCAUUUGGGUGUUGAAGAUCCAACCAUUCCAGCUAGGGGGUGGAGGAGGAUGUCAGGGCCUUGGCUGCAAAUUUCAUGAGCAAGCAUUUAUUCUGAAGAUGCAAGUUUUUGAGUCCUAGACCACCAUAUUUUUUCGGAAUACACACGUUUUUCCAUGCAAUAAGGCAUUGGGCUCCUGAACAUGAAUCCUCACCCUCCCAAAAGAAAGCUCUACGAAUGGAGUCUAGGGUUUUUAAAACCUUUUUGGGGAUACGAAAGACUGACAUGAAGUAGGUGAGGAGGGAGUCGAGGACUGCGGAGAUAAGAAUGAGGCAAUCACCUUUGUCAAGCAGCUUAGCACGCCAACCAGCCAGCAGCAUGCGGGAGCGUUCUAGGAGGGGAUCGAAGGCAUUGGAUGGAGGCUUAGUAGGGGAGAGAGGGAGGCCAAGGUAGGUUUGGGGGAAGGGGGCGCGUGAGCAGCCCAUGGCAAGGGCGGUGUCGUUAGCAACGGUGUCAUCUGUGUGUAGGGUUGCAAGCGUGGUUUUGGAGAAGUUGAUGGUUAGCCCAGUAACGUUGGCAAAGUUGGUUAGGAUUACUCUUAGUGGUGCAGCAAAUACGUAGAAGCCGAACACGAAUACGUGGUGAGAGGGUAUAUCAUUCUUGAUUACUAGAUCAAUGUCUAUAUAUGUCUCUAAGUUGUCCAAAUCACAAAGUAAAAAUGUAGAGAGAUCUGAAAAAUCACUGCUGCAGUAUAACUGGAUGCACUCUGUUUGGUUGGAAAAUAAGAAAUUAAACAAAAUCAUAGCCUUGCAAUUGAGUGGGAUGGAUUUAGAUCAUUUCUCAUGGUUGGCUUGAUGGAAGGCCGGCAGAAUAUACACGAAACAUAAAGCUUGGCUGAAAUAUCUACACUUGUGUUUCCCUCACUCGGGCCCCACAAAUUCACCUGCACACAUGAUUAUAUAAGUUGCCACUCGUCUAGGCACAAUACGGUAAUAGUUAAUUAAGCCCACCGCAAAGUGUUUAUUUGCUCCUGUUAUUGUGAUUGUGAUGAUAUGAUCAUAAAAAAAAUAGUCAAAUGGACGCAAGCUACGACAUGGAAGGUGGAAAAAUCUAACAAUGCCUUUGCAUAAAAUUCUCAUAAUGUUACAUCAUGAUAGUACAACUCAGACCAUAGGACAACAUGCCUUAUGGCGAGCACAGUCCCAAGACACCUUACUUGCCGGGGACAAAGUUGGUGGCGAAUGCCCAUGCAUUGUUGUUGACAGGGUCGGCGAUGUGGUCAGCAAGGUUCUCA
RNAcentral lists this long non-coding RNA (88586 nucleotides) under Triticum aestivum (bread wheat). Its description in RNAcentral is "long non-coding RNA (TAES_LNC012991)". Lineage: Eukaryota; Viridiplantae; Streptophyta; Magnoliopsida; Poales; Poaceae. The record is from RNAcentral.